Molecule: long non-coding RNA, 88102 nt
Filed under: Malus domestica (apple)
Lineage: Eukaryota; Viridiplantae; Streptophyta; Magnoliopsida; Rosales; Rosaceae
Source: RNAcentral
UUUUUAAUAACAUUCAUACCUUUUGAUAACAACUAUGGAUAAGUUCUAAGAGAGACAACUCUACAUUGCAGAAAGUGCAUUACGUUUAACACUUACAUCAUUGACAUGAUCCUAGUUGAUCUAAGGUUGUUACAUAUAUCCUCCUUAGGUUCCUGAGUAAUUCUCUCUAGUUCCUGCUGAAAUCUCUCCAUGGCCGAGGAUGGCAAACACAUUGGUACCAAUAUUCCAUCCUCAGUGUUGUUUUUGUGUUGAACGUAGAAGCUAAUCAAAUCCAAGGCCUUGGCGGGUCCAGCAAAUACCGGCUGUCCCCAUCCAAAAUUGACAUCUCCAAAACCUGCACGCGUAUUAUCAGAAACUAUUAAAUAACUUCCUGUCGAUGAAUAUUGAGGUCGCCCUCUUAGUACCAUAAGAUCUGCCACUGAUCUUAAGUAUUCUUCAUUCAUGGUAGCUUUAGCCUUCUUCACCAACUCCAAAGCAUAUCCCAGUGGAUUUUUGCAUAGAGGUUCAGCCUUUGAAACUGCAGCUGGAUAUGCAAAUGCAUUGCCAUAGUAUCCCAAGGGAAGACGUAGAUUGUGGUGCUUUCCCCGUGCAUUGACAAUGCAUGAGACUCGAACAGCCUGUUUUGGAUUAAUUUUAAGUGCAAGAGUGCGACAUUUCCACAAACAGGCUGUGAUCAAGUCAAAUGUGGAGCAAGUGGAAAUUAGGUGGGGUGGAAUCUGUUUUCGAAUGACUCUCAUCUCCUUGGCACCAAAGUAGAAAGAUCGUUGAACCAUGUUUGACUGGUUACUGAAUGCAUAUGAGCCAUCAGAAUGAUCAAUCACGUCUUCAUAUUCAUGAUGAGCACAUGUAAUUCUUGGUGGAUUUCGAGCGAAAAAGAGCUUUCUCUCCCACACUGGUAGAAUAGAUGGUGCAUGUGCGCCUCUUGCCAUCUCCGCAAUGGCGGUCAGGAACAGGAGCAAUCCAGAUGCAUCACACAUUGUGUGGUUUAGGCGCAAUGCAAGUAUGAAACCUCCACAUGUAAGACAGGUCACCUGCAUAUUGCAAAAGUUAGUUACUAGACUUUUUUCUUGAUCAUCAUAUUCGUGCCAGUUAACAAUUCUUUAGAAGAAAAGACCCAAAAUAAAUAAAUAAAUAAAAAACCAUCUAAAUUAGAUGAUCUAAUUAGUAAACAAAACAUUUCAUAAAAAUUAGGAAUAAAAUUCAAGAAAGAUGGAGUCUCUUUGAAAGGCUCUCGUGCAUGUUGUAGUUACUUGAAAAAGUCUUUAACUAUAGAGGAUUUUAGACAAAAUGCUUAUAGAAGAGAAAAAUUUAGACAGAAGACAAAGAGGAAGACAUGCAAAAAACCUAGAAGAAGAACGGCAAAGGAAAACCUACACAACAAAGGUGAUGUGAGACUGGUAGAAAACCUAGGACCUAAUUAGGCGGAUACCAAGUAGAAAUAUAAUUUCCUCAAUUCAAUGUGUAUACAAAUUUUACUGUAUAGGAUUAAACAUAAGGAUCGUCGAAGAAAAAUUAGUUUCGAAAAAUAAUGAAAGCGUCUCAUAAUCUUUUCUUUCCAAAACAUCCUAAUGACUUUCUUUAAUCAUAAGAACAAAGAGGCGUGGUCAUAUUGUAGAUAAGUUCAAGUUUAGGUGCGGUGGUAGUAUGAUAAAUUUUCAUUUAUGAAAAGGGUUGCCAAUUUAAUGAAAAAAGUUAAAAACAGUUGCGGUGCCACCAAACUUCAACUUAUUUACAUUAUUGUUAGUGCUUUCUUGUUUAUGUCCUUAUUUGUCAUUAAAAAUUUCGUAUGUUGUUGAUUACACUAAUUUCUUACAAAAAAUAUCCGGGGUGUGUAUGUGACCUUAACGCAAAAAACACUACUCAUACCCUUAAACUACUUCAAAUUUUUUGUAAAGAAUUAAUGGCUAUGACCAAAUAUGAAUACGAAAAACUAAAUAACAUGUAAUUGAUAAUUAAUUGACUCACCUGAACCAGCAGCAAAGGACAACCAAUAAUUCCAUCAGAGCCUGGAAAAUUAAAUAAGAACUCCUCUAAGAGUGGACAAGGGGGUAGAAUUGUGUCUCCUAGUUGCUCUAGUGUGACAUCAGCAGAAGCCUCGACGAACAAGAUACCUUCACCAUUGCAAUCGACCACGAGCUUUUUGUUAGGCCCUUCCCUAAGCCUUCCAGCUAAAGGGUAGUAAUACACUAAUGCUCUACUUAAGGCUUCCCUAAUCACCUUAACGGGAUUACGAUUUUUAUUAAGUGAAGGAUUGGCUUUGUAACACAUUAUAACUGGAACCUGAAAUCUCAAGCUUUCUUGGUCGUCAAUAUCAGAGAGAAACUUUGUUUCUUGAGGCGUUGGCUUUGCCGGAGUUAUAAGUUCCGGCUGCAAUCGUUUCACCUGAAGUAUUGAGGGUAGCAUCAUUUCAAUAACAAGCUUAAGAACAAGCAAAAGAUCAAAGGAUUUGGAAUUUUAUUUUGUGGUAUGCAUGCUAACUAAAAGUUGAUAGUCAGUACUUAUAUAACGUUAUGUAGAUGCUCUAGGGUUCCCGAAUCUUCCGUCCAAGUUUCCACCCGUUGUGAAUGUGAUUCUUUUUUUUUUUGGAAGACAUGUGAUUAUUUUCUUUUCCAUUAAAAAUGUUGUUAGAAAGAAACGUUUAAAUCGCUUUCCAAAAAAAAAGAAAAAAAAGAAAAAAACGUUUAAAAUUAAAUCACGCAAUCAACAUGGACUGCAAAGAAAAACAUGUUGUUGAGAGCUAUGUGCAUGGGACCAUUUCACAGUUCACACCACAUAUUCGGAGCUAUGUGCAUGGGACCAUUUCACAGUUGCUAUGUGCAUGGGACCAUUUCACAGUUCACACCACAUAUUCGUACAUAUACAUUAAUACUGAAUUUCAUUUCAACAUCAGAAAUCUGAAUACUAACAGGGAUAUGAGGACAGGUGUACGGUAAAAAACCUUUGAUAGGAAUGGAAGGAAGAAGGCCAACAUCGUACGUACCUUGCCCCAAUUACAGCUGUGACUUUUGUAAAACAUCGAUUACACGUCUGCUAUAAAGACAACAUUGUUGUUGUAUAAAGACAGGCAUAUUAGCACGGGAGAAUAAUGUUCCACAUGGCGUGGAGCACGGUAAGUGUUGGGCUUCACACAAUCUGUUCUGCAAUCAUGACGAAAGUUGAGGUUCACACAAAUUGUAUCAAGACUUUGUAACAGCAGCAUGAAGGUUAGGAGUCGACUUGGAGGAGAAGAUCGCGAGCGGGUUCAGCUAGCACUAGUUAACCGAGCCCCAGAUUCCAUGUUCAUGGUUAUCGGCUAAUCCUCAACUCUUAUGUUCGGUGCUUAACUUCUGAACAUUGAACUUUUUGUCAAAUUUUAUGUUCAGCAUGUUCAAAUACAUGAUUCAAUCUAGUUGUAUUUUAUUUAAGAAAAUAGAAACAAACCCAAGAGGAUUUCAGAGAAAAGUGACGGCAUAGGGCAGAACAUUGCAGCUCAAACGUCACUAACAUACUUCAAUGAUUUAGGGUUUUGGUCACGAUACCACCUUACAUCUCAUUUAAAUUAGCUAGCUAACAAAAGCCUUCAAGACCCCAGUUGUGCUAAGCUAAUCUAAACCUCACACCAAAGCAAACCUAUCUCAGCCCUACACUUGUAAUUUUGGACUGAGUCAACAUAUUUGGCCGUUACAAAUUUAGAAAAAACUAAGGCAUUACUUUUGUUUAAUACAAAAAAUUGGAAGCUAGAAAUCAGUUUAUGCAUCAACACUCUCCUUCAAAUUGUUUCUAGUUUUGACGCCAAGCAAAUCCCUGAGGUAUACAAAACCCUCCUUUAGCGUAUCCUUAGUAAAUAUAUCAACAGUUUAAUCUUCAUAUUUGCAAUAGAGUAAUUCAAUCACAUUCUCUGACGUACAAAAGAUCUCUAAUAAAGUGAUGGUUCCUCUUUUCAUGUUUUGUUUUUUUAGUGAAUCAGAGGAUAUCCUGUUAGAGCAAUUACAAAGGUGGUGUUGAAAUUUAGUGAUAUAGCAUCUACUUUGAAAAGGUAGCUGGGUCAACCCAAUAGAUAAAUAAUCUCAAUUAAAAUUCUAGACGAGGAUUCAUGUACGGUUUCAAUCAUACUACAUAACAGUGAAGAACAAAAUGAAAUAGAGUAAAAAGAACAAAAGACUCACAAUAUAAUUCAUGGGCACACAACCAUUGAGAAAUAAGUACUUUUACAAAACUCAUCAAGACAGACAUCUACUACACUUGAAGUUUUCUCUUGUACUUUUAAUCUUGUAGCACACAGUCUUUCUUUUGCUCUCUUUUGGAUGAACACGACGUACUCAACAGGUUCUCCUCACGACUAAAGAGAUUGCACUCAACUUCGUCGCAUAGAUGGAAACAACUUCUUCACUCAAAUGAAUAUGAUGAAUAAUAUGAAAGGUAUGAAGUGUUUCACUAAGAUCACUCUUCUAACCUAGCACUCAAGAACUUUGCUUUGAACCUUUUAUGCUCAAAUCUUAUAACCAAGCAAAGAUGAAUGAUAGGCUUGAUUUCCUAUGAAACCAACAGCCUAGAAUAAAGGAAACUGGAAUUAUGUACUAGAAUAAAAUCAAAUUGGGUUUAUUUCUUAAAACUAGGCAAUUAAACUGAUAUUAUAAUCUUCAAGAUAUGCAAUGAUGUGAUUCUCGUUUCCUAUAUGAAUGCACAUGAUACUCCAAUAUAUGCUUUGAUGUGCACGUUUUCAGUAAUUAAACCUAGAAACUACGACACGAGUGGCGAUACUUUGGAUUAGUUUGGUAUUCCUGUGCUUUCUAAAAAAAAUGUGAUUUUGCUGUUCUAUGAGAAUAAACAAUUGUUACGUGUUUGGUAACUUUUUUUUUCUUUUUUUUGUAAAAGUGCUUUUAACAACAAAAAAACAGUCUGAGUGUUUGGUAAACUUUUAUAUAAAUUAUUGUGAAUGUGUUAAAUAACUAAAAAGGAUAUGGUAUGUAGUGUGAUAUAAUAAUUGACAAAGAUAAUAAUGUAGGGGCAAAAAUUGUAAUUUUGUAAAAUAUGUGGGGUUGUACUUGCCUUUGAAAAUUUUAUUAAAUGAGCAUUAAUUACUAUACUUCGAAAAAAAAAGCACUUUCUUUAAAAGCAAGAUAGACUCUGCUUUUGUUUUUCUAUGCUUUUCUACUGUCAUUGACAAUAGUUUUUUAAAAAAUCACUUUUUUUUUUGUGUGUGUUACCAAACACACUUAAUGUUCCAGAUUUUUUAAAAGCAUUACAAUCCCAAACCAGCCCUUUGUUAGAAUGUUUAGAAUUUUCUCAACCAAAUGGCUCAAAAUAUUUAGGGGAAUACUAUUAUGUAGGUUGCAUUCAGUGACUUGCUUAAUUUCUUUUAUUAGUGAAUAUGUUCUAGAUUGUUAAAUUAUUUUGUAUAAACUUAGCAUCCAUAAAGCAUUUUAAGUUAAACCAUAUUCACUAGCAAGAGCAUUUAAAUUGUAGGGGGUAGAAGACAAUUCUGAGAUCAAUCAUGUUUCGAAUGUUUACAUUUUUGCAAUUGAUUUACAAUUGAGUUGUAAGGAAAAACCAAAAGAGUGACCCUUCCAUCCACAGAAGGUACACUUGAGAUGAGCACGAUGAUUUUUAGUAAUGUGAUUCGUCUUGUUGCACUUCCCACAUCGAGGUCCACCGUCUUCUGAUUCGGCUUCUCGGCUAGUGGUUUUCAUGGCGAAUUCCGCAACUUCUGGUUGGGUAGUAUUGUUUUUCCCACUGGAAACUUCAGCCUAUCUCUCAUGGCAGAGAACCAAUGAGUAGGCUUUGUUUACUGUGGGCAGUGGCUCAAGAGAAGAGUGUUGCUGCGAACGGUGGCGUAAGAAUCAUUCAACCCCAUGAGAAACUUCAUGGUCUUAUGUGUUUCAAUGUACGAAACAAUCUCCUUCUUUGUUUCACAACUACAUGCCAGAAUCGAACAUAGUACUCCUCGUUCAUCCUAGAGACUUUUUAGUUUGGUGAAGUAGGUACUUACUGUCAUUCUCUAUGUGAAAUAGUUGGACGAUGUUCAUAUGAGAAAAUCUUUUAUGUGCUUAAUCACAUCUUUUAAGUUGCCCAAACUCUCAAUUUCUUUGCGGCAGUGCGCAAUCGAACAACAUGCAGCCUUGCCCCCACAUUUCAAGGAAAUAUCUCUUUUUUUUUUUGUCGAAGGAAAUAUCAUAUCAAUUGGGCAAUUUCAUGGGUGGAGAAGCUCUUGAGUAUAUAGGUGCAAUCAGUGGCGGAUCUAAAGAGGGAUCUGGGAAGUCCCAGGACUCUUCGAAGAAUCUAAAUCGUGCUUUGAAAUUUUCUAAGGACCCCCCGUACUUGAAGAUGAUGGCCAGUGCAGCUGCAACGGCAUCGUCUUCUGUCUUCCUAGAGAAGACGAUCGCGCGAAGAAAUAUUUUUUUUCUAUUUUAAGACUUGGCCCAUAAUGUUGUUUGGUUUUGUUCGAUUUUUUCUAUUUGUUGUGGGCCUAAUGUUUUGCGUAGGCUUUUGGUGAGAUGGUUGGCGUGAUGCUCGUUUUCUUGUUUUCAGGACCCACUCUUUCUUUGUCUUGCUUUUUUGGGUCUUUAUUUUGUCAAGUUUCUUGGUAAUUAAUGAAUUUUACCUUUGUAUAAUAAUAAUAAUAAUAAUAAUAAAAUAAUAAAAUAAAAAAAACCCAAACCCCUAUCACGUCCCCAGCAGUCCCACCCCAUCCCUUCCUCAACUUGAUAUUAUAUUCUCCCUUAAAAAAAAACUUGAUAUUUAUAUUUAUUUUGUGCAUUUUGGUAAUGAUUUUUCUCAAUUAAGAGGGAUUAGCAAUCUUGCCAAAAAAAUGGUGGAAGAAAGGGCUGCACCAAAUAUUUGCAUAUGUAUAUUUGCUUAUUUAGUGGGCUUUGAUUUUAUCGAAUUGCAACUGUUUCAAUGAAGAUGACAUUUUUCGCUAUGAAUAUCAUUGAGGGUCUACUUCUCAACAAAAUGGGAGAUCAAUAGUUGCAUGUAGAGGACAUUUUUCACUAUAAUUUUUUUUUAUCUUUAUUAUUGGGACCCCCCGAGUCUAAAAUCUUGGAUCCGCCACUGAGUGCAACAGCCUGCUUGCAAAUGAAUAGGAUGAAGUUGUUGCCACCAAGGUAUAAAAUAUCGAUGAUAUCGGAAAUAUCAGUAGUCCAAAAACAUGAAAAUUUCGAUGGAAAUAUCAGGAUAUUAUCAAUAUCGAUAAAAAUUGAAUAAAAACCACGGAAAUUGUAAGAAAAACUUGGAAAUUUUUAUUAAAACUUUGCAAGAUGUUUAUGUAAUCAAUUAUUUAUUAGUUUAUCACAAAAAAAUUGGAAGGAAAUGCAUUGCAUGAUGGAUUUAACUGAUUUAAGUUGAUUAUAUAGCGAGCUGGCAAACAGUGUGAGUGUAGAAAAUAUGUAGUAAUUAAUGAAAGAAGUUUAAACACACCAUAAUCAUUUAUAUAUAAUGAAUUAGUACAAUAUUUUACACUUUAUACAUAGCAUGAUAAGAUACAUGAGUGACUUAGUACCACAUAGAGUUCCUAUGAAGUUCAAAAUUUUCACUAUCUUCAUCAUCUCUAUGUAGUAAGUGUAUUGUGAAGAGUAGUCAACAACCAUGGCAAUGACUUUCAAGAACCAAAACCCAAAAGUCAAUAGGAAACCGAAUACUUCAGUAUUUUUCGGGAUUUUAGGAUUACCAAACAAAUGGUAUUUGGAAACCAAUCCCAUAUAAAAAAUUUCGGUAUUUUUCAGGAUGGUUUUGGUUUGGAAUUUUUCGGUUUGGGUUUGGGACUUUUUCGGUUUGGUUUGGGAUUUUCGAGAAUUUUUUCCAGCCCUACCAUGUAAGUGACCAAAUAAAAAAUAGAAAAAUUAAAAACCACGUGACAUUGACUAAGUAAUUAAUUGACACAAUUUAAAAUAUAAUACCACAAAAAAUUUGGAAUAUGUGCAAAUUUGUUUCUUGUAAAAAGAAUUCAAAACAAAACCAUAUAUAUAAAUAUUUUAGCAUAUUAUCACAAAAACAUAAGUGAUAUGGUGGUUAAGGUGUUAAGGAGUCAAAUAGGAGGGGUUUCAAUCCCUCUAUGCGCAAAAGGGAGACUUUUCAGAAAUUUUUAAGUAUUUUUGGAUUUAAUAUCGCGAUAAUAUCGGUAUUAUCGCGAUAUAUUAACGAUAAUUAAUGGGAUAAGUCACGAAAUAUCGUCAUCUAAAAAAUCGAUUUCGCCAAUAUUUUCGAUAUUUUGGUCCUUGGUUGCCACUAUAGGUUGUAAAAGAGUUAAGGAUACUGAGAAAGAUUGUAAAAGAGUACUGCAUUCUCUUAUUUAUUUAUGUAACUGUGAAAAAUAUUGGUACACAUAACCACAAAUUAACUAUUUACCUGAUAUUUCUUUUCACUUGUAAGUGAGAGGUUUUAGGUCCGAUUUUCACUAAAGGCGAAUUUAAAUCAUAUUAUUACUAGCCUAUUGUGAGGCUUAGCACACUCCCAACAAACAGCCACCCUCUCUCUCAGUCUCUCUCGAAGCAACUGCUGCAAGCAUGCAACUCUCUCGAACUGAAGAACAAAACCUCCCUCCACCACACAAAUACGGCCAACCACCACCACACACAACCAUGAGCCACCAGGAUCCGGCAAUUCUCCAUUUCCCUCUCUCAGACUAUCUCUUUCUAGGAGUCGGCGUCUCUCUCGACGAUUUCUACAACAACGGCGGGCUAAGAACUCUCUGUCUCGCAUUUGAUUUUUCAUCAUUUACUGCCGCUUCUUAUUCUCUGAAACGGAAGAGACCCCGAUGAUUGAGAUCCCGAGCGCCAUGCAAGAAAUUAAAAGCGAGAAGCCCCGGUAAUCCUCUUUAUUUAGGGAUUUGGGAUUAAUUUUUUAUUUAGGAUGCAUGUUUAAUUAGGGACACCACUAGUUUUGAUCAGGCCUUGAAAGAAGUGUGAUUAUAGAGCAUGCAUAUUCACUUUCUACUUGUGCAAUCUGACUUUUAGAAAACACAUCUAUUUCGACACCUCUGCUUACGUUAGAAAGCGAGGUGGACUACUCUAAGGCGUGCAGUGGUAAAUUGCGUAUUGAUUUACUGCUAAAAAAAGGAGAGGAAAAUAAAUAAAAAUAGAAAAAACUAAUAAAUAUAUGCAAUACCUAACAAAGCACUUAAAGACUUUUGAAGUCGUGACCUAAAAGUAGGGAUGGGCACUUGAAACCGAAAAUCAAAACCAAAACACGAACCAAAUCGAACCGCACUAAACGGUUUGGUUCUGCGGUUUUCAUACGGUUGUGGUUUUGAAACCGAACCGCAAUGUAGGAAAUAGUUUGGUUUCGGUUUUGGCUUUUGAAAAUUGCACUGAAACCAAAACCGCACCUCAAUUAGAUCAUGUUUUAAUUGGUUGUUUGUUAGAAUCUAUACAUUUAGUAUGGAUACAACCACACUGUAAUGUCAUCCGUUUCCUAAUUUUUACCUUUGGUGCUUAUUUCGUUCUGAAUAAACCAUCGUACGUUCUCCAACACUAGGUAAAAAAAUAAAAUUUAAAAAAAAUUCCGUGUCAUAGUCACUGUUAUUUUGAUCUCUCCAGAUUUUGAAAGAUGGAAAAAGAAAUACUAUGUAAAUGAAUGGUGUACUUAGCCUUUUAUAUGACAUGGAACAAGAUAUAUUUGGAAGUUACACUAAACGUUUAAAGAAUUAAAGUAUGUAUACAUUGAAAAUUACAUUGUGAUAGGAUGAAAUAAGCACCUAUUUUUCGGUAAGAGUAGAUCCUUCACAUGAGACCGUCUUAUGCGUACGUAAGUGUAAAUUUUAAAAGGAAUUGUUAUUGGCAUUUCAAAAUUCUCAUUCUACACUCCAAACUUUUUAUAUUUAGACAGAAAAAUACACUUAUGAGGAGUGUCGAAUGAGAUUUUGGAGUGCCAAUAACACUUUCCAUUUUAAAUUGUAUAAUUUUUCUCAAAAACCGAACCGAAUCAAACGGUUUGGUUUCUUUCGGUUUUGGCUUCAAAACCGUACCGAACCGCACCGCGAAAAGUUAUGAUUUCGAUUAAGGCUUCACUCAAAACUACACCGAACUGCACCAUGCCCACCCUUACCUAAAAGCCUACUGGCAUGCACGGAACACACACGCACACACAAGACACACGUGUGUCACAGUAAGGGAAACCCUGGCAGCCAGCUCAUUAGACCAUCUCCAACUCUUGGGCUAAAAGCCAAAUUUUUUAGCUCAGAAACAGUUUUUCUACUCUAACCUUUCUGGCCUAGAAUUUUUGCCCAAGAUUAUUAAAGAAUGAACUUAGGCUAAUUUUUUUCUUAAAUUACUUAAAAAAAAGAUGUAAACUAUCGUAAAUUAAUUUUAUGAACAUUUUAAUCUAAAAAUAUUUAAAUUCCAAUAAAUAUUGAAAAAUCACUCAAUCGAUACAUGAAACACUAUGGAAAAAUAUGAAAAUCAUGAUAGAGAUGUAUAAAUACAAAAUACAUAAAACAUACAAGACAAAUAACACAUGUGAAGCACAUACAAAACACAUGUGAAGCACGUACACAUGUGAAGGACAUACAAAAUACAUAAAAACAAUUAGUUGCAAAAUAAUAUUAUGUACAUGACAAAUAAAAUAUUAAGAAAAAAACUCACAAUUUAUGUUGCGCUCUUUUCACUAGCCAUGUCAAUCACAGUUCUCUCAAACUUCCCUGCCAUAAAGUGCAUGCUUUGUUGAUAGUCUUCCACCAAUCAUAAACACCACCAUCGUCUCUCCCGCCGCAAUUGCAGUUUUCAUGAAACUUUUCAAUGAUUUUAUCCCACAAAACCUUUUUAUUUUGAUUCGUGCCAACUGCACCAUCUUUGCUAACAGAAACUCAUGCCAAGCAUAAAGCAACAUCUUCCUCACAGGUCCAAUUACGACCUCUAAUAUGCUUUCUUGCCAUUUUGAAUAAUUUGGAAAUAAGAAAUGGUAGAAAGAAAAAUUGGAAGAAUUGUAGGAGAAAAUUGAGUUUUGUAUUGAUGUUUGAACAAAUACAUCGUUAUUUAUAGAGUUUUUGGGUGAAUUUUGAGUUAAAUAUAUAUUUUUUAAUUAUUUUAGCCAUUGGAUUUAAAUUUGGACGGUUAGAUCUUUUUUUACCGUUAGAUUUGAUUAUAUUCGAUCUUAGCCGUUGGAUUCAAUGUAUUUUAAAAUUACAUAUAAAAAAAACAAAAUUUGAAUUUGGACCGUUGGAUCAAUCAACGGUCUGUAAAGCCCAGUCGUAGGAUACAGAAAAGAGCCGUUGGGCUCUGGUUGGUGGUCGACAGCGGCCCUGACAGUGGGCCCCCUGUCGGGCGCUGAAGCCAAACUGUCAGGGCGACUGCACAAGUGAACGGGCCAAGACUAGGUUCCCUUUUAGUUAGUCCACACGUUUGUGGGCUAUUUCUUGGGGGGUAUUUGGCCUUGUUUUGGCAUUUGGCUUUUAGCCCAAAGAUUUGGCUUGGGUUGGGUUGGGUUGAGUUUUUUUUGGGGGGGGGGGAGGGGAAUAAGUGGGGUAAUUUGGCAAAUAGCCCAAGGUUGGGUGUGGUUUUAUAAAAGCCAAUUUUCAGCCCCCACUUGUCAUUUCUGCUCCCUUAAACCCUAGGUGCCGUUGAGAACUCCCUGGAAUCUCGCCUUCACUUUCCACUUGAAGAGCCUCUCACUCUCUCUUACUUCACUUCUCAGCCAACCUCGAGAACCACACCCCAAGCUUUACCUGAAUCGGUUGCCAUAUCUCUGCCAGAGCUCAGACUCAAGCUUAGCCUUUCUCUCUCAUGACGGUUUUUCAACAAAUCCGAGUUCCAAUCAUCAUUAAAAAUCUUUCAAAUCAGAGCUCCAGUCAUCAUUGAAAGGUAACAAUUCUCACUCUCUUCCGUCCCUUUCGUGACUGCUUUUAGAUUAAACGAAAAAAGAUGAGAACUAUCUCACGCUUGUGUUCUGGUUAUGUGCAUGGAACAGGUUCCAGAAGAUCAAGUGUUGGAAGGUUGAAAUCCAAGUGUUUAUGGUGUUACGAAAUUAUAGCCUUCAACACAUCCAUUAUAGCUGCCCGAUGCACUUGCACCGUAACUUUGCUGUCACACACGCAUUGGACCACUGUUGGCAUUAAUGUUGUAGGGCAUUUCAGGAGACUGCUCCUAUGUAAGAACUUGUAUGGUUUCCCCUCUAGUCGAACACUAUUCCAUGAAUACGACUGACUGUCAUCCAUGAUUGAUUUCUUAUGGGCAAACAAAUAGAAAUUUGGAAUCUAGUGAAGUGAUAGCCAACACAACUUCGUCAACUCUCUUCCAAAAGCACGGAAGUCUAGGGAAUCUAGUGAAGUGCUUCCAAAUGCAUAGAAUCUAGUGAAGUGUUUUUGGAAGCACUUCACUAGAUUCCAAAUUUCUAUUUGUUUGCCCACAAGAAAUCAGUCAUGGAUAACAGUCAGUCGUAUUCGUGGAAUAGUGUUCAACUAGAGGGGGAAACCAUACAAGUUCUUACACAAGUGCAGUCUCUUGCAAUUCCCUACAACAUCAAUGCCAACAUAAAUGUUCGGGUGGUCCAGCACGGGUGUGACGACAAAGUUCUAGUGCAAGUGCACCCGGCAGCUACAGUGGAUGUGUUAAAGGCAUGGUUUUAAAUAUCGAUAAUAUCGGCGAUAUUUCGCCGAUAUUAUCGUUUUUCAGAGGCUUCGAUAUUUUUUCACAUAUCCGUCUCAUUAUCGUCAAAAUAUCGCGAUAUUAUCGAUAAUAUCGCGAUAUUUUCGAUAUUAUCGAAAAAGUCGUCGUGGAUCCGUCGUCGGAAAGGCAGCCGAGGCUGCGUCGUCCCCCUAGCUGCCCAGAUCUCUCUGCAAUCCAUGCUCAAACCUAAGAUCUGCGCCUCAACGACACCGAUUCCCCCGCCGUUGUCGAAGUCGCGGCGAAAGAUCCACAACUCCAGAACGGAUCGAGCUCGCAGUUGUAGAUCCACAACUCGUGGUCUGUCCCCACGGCGAGGCAGGCGUGGUCUUGGGUUGAAGCAGACGGGGAACAGAGACGGAGGCGAGCGCGGCGCCGGCAGGGCAGGCUCCGGGGGGAGGAGGAGAAUGGGUGGUUGUUGUGGAGGUUGAGGUUGGGGUUUGGGGGCGAUUGGGGGUCGUCGUUGGAGUCAACGACAGAGGUGGGGUUGUUAUCGGUGGGAUCGGUGAGCAAGGCGGAGAAGGAUCAAGAGAACUCAGAGUUCCUGGGUUCGCCGACGAGGCGGAAUACGCGGACCAGGAGGAAGGCGAGGGAGGAGGAGAAUGCCAUGUGGAAGAAGGAUCGAGAAAGGUCUCUGUGCGUGUGUAUGGGAGAAGGGAGAAGAGAGAAGGAUCGAGAAUUCGAGAGAUCUGUCGAUCUGUGUGUGUGUUUGUGGGAGAAGGGAGAGGGAGAGGGAGAAGAGAGAAGGUUCCAGAUAUAAGUCGUGUGUGCGUGUGUGGUGUGCGUGUGUGGUGGCGUGUGUGAUCUUGUGUGUGCGUGUGUGUGUCGGUGGCGUGUGUGUGUAGGUGGUGUGUGACGUUGUGAGAAAAGAAAAGCAUGGUAAAUAAUUCAACUUUUACAUCUUUUAGGAAUGGUACAAUGUAUAAAGUGUAAAAUAUUGUACUAAUUUAAUAUAUAUAAAUGAUUAUGGUGUGUUUAAAUUUCUUUCAUUAAUUACUAUAUAUUUUUUACACUCAUAAUGUUUGUCAGCUCGCUAUAUAAUCAACUUGAUAAUGUUAAAUCCAUCAUGCAAUGCAUUUCCUUCCAAUUUUUUAUGAUAAACUAAUAGAUAAUUGACUAAAUAAACAUCUUGCAAAGUUUCAAUAAAAAUUUCCAAGUUUUUCUUACAAUUUCCGUGGUUUCCAUGUAAUUUUUAUCGAUAUCGAUAUUAUCCCGAUAUUUGCAUUGAUAUUUCCGUGUUUUCGGACUACCGAUAUUUCCGAUAUUACCGAUAUUUUCUUCCUUGGUUAAAGGCUAUAAUUUCAGAACACCAGAGACACUUGGAUUUUAACCUUCCAGCACCUAUCUUUUUGGAACCUGUUCCAUGAACAGAAAAGCAUUGGAUUGUUGUUCCAACUCAGUAACAUAAACUCUAAUGAAAAUUUAUGUCUACAGAACCUUAAACCUCUUUUGGAAGUGCUGCAAAUGUUCUUAGUGAAAAGUUUUUGUGAACAAAUCUUUAGCAAAUAUGCAAGGGAAAGUACUUUUAGAAUACAAAAAUAUUUUCUCUAAAAGUACUUUUAAUCUAUUUAAAACGCUUUCAAACAAGUUCAGAAAUGUUCAUGUUUGUUGUAUCUCUAAACUAUCCUAAUACAAUUGUAGGCAAUUGCAGCACAGCUAGACGGCCAUAUUUUCUUCCGCGUAAGUGUUACUAUUCCCCUUUUGUGAUUAGAUGAUUUUAUUAAUUGUACGUUUGUUUGUUAGGUUUUUCACCUUUAUGUGAGGAGACAGAGAUUUUUCAAUGAUUUUGGAACACGACUUGUUAUAGAAGUGUCGUAUACAAGUAGUUGGAUAUUUGAAAACAAAUCCAACACUUGUGUUAAUGACACUUCAUACAAAAACCGUAUUUUCAAAGUACUAAAAAAAUUUCUCGUAAGUGGGGAAUGAUGAAAUUAAUAAAUUUUAUUUUGCUCGUAAAUGAACAGGAAGAUUAUAUCAUUGCUUUAGGUCCAUUGCGUUGGUUGAAAUUAGUAAAGAAAAUUGCGGGAGAUUGCUUUCUUCACUAAGUGCGUCCGACUUGCAUUAUCAACACGAUGAAACGGGACGCUCGAGUGAUGCAGAGUUUUAAGCAUUUGCAUUUAUGAAGGAUUUCAUAUAUAUAUAUAUAUAUAUAUCAUUGUGAAACCCUAAUACCAAUUCACAUGAAGAAUAUUAGGGUUCCAACUUAAGCAUUUGUGUUUAUGUUUUUAGCUUAACUACAUUGUUAGUAGUAUCGAUUUUCUUUAAGAAAAUUUCAUUCCAAAGCACUUCAGCCACAAUAAAAAGUUUGUCCAAUUGGCGAGAAAGUUUGUCUGAAUAAAUCCAAACUUUCCCAAAAUUCUAUAUUGAAAAUACAAAGUAAAGUAUCAAAACUCUACCAAAAUAAUUACCAAAACAUAUUAAGAAUAAGAUAAAAUAUAUAAUAUGAAUUUGACACAUCAAAAUACCCCCAAACUUAACUUUUUGCUUAUCCUCAAGCAAAAUAGAACUAAAAAACAAAAAUAAAAGCUAACGAACUAAGGACUUAAACAAAACUAAACUAAGACAAAAUUUUCACCUCUAAGUUGCAAUCCAUAGAAAAUGUUAAAAAUCAGAACAUCUUUUCAAAAGUUCCAACCAAUCCCACCAUAGAGUCUAAGUUAUUUAGAAUCAAUUAGAAAAGAAUUCACAAACUUCCUUUGGUAUAAAGUGAACCAACAUAGUUAAGGAGACUCGACUAAAACCCUUAUCUCUUGUCCUUUUAUUCAACACUUCACACAAACUCACUUGAGACAAGUAUUAUAUAUUUAUAUUUUUUUUUUCUUCUUUUCAAUUUUUGUUUUUUAGUAACAAUAGUGGUCGUGCAAUGCCAGUUUACUUAAACUUUCGAUCCAACCCAUGUAGCUAGCUUUAAGUCAAUAACUCCUAAACCACUAGGGCUUUAGGGCACUAGGUGUAAAACACUCCUAAGGACUUACUAACUCAAGCUGAAAAGGCUACGAAACCAACUAACCACCUUACCCCAUGCCAAAACUUUACCGUUUGACGCGAGAAUCACUACUGUUUAGGCAUGACUAACCCGGUUACAAAGCAAAGCCUUGGUUGGAACAAUUAUUACUUUAUUCAUAACAAGAACUAAACUUUACUUUACUAAGAUUAAAAAUUAAAGUUUAACAUGGACUAAAAGUAAGUGUUUCAAUCUCACUCCCCACAAACCAUGUUGAUGUGAAUGUGCAAAUUGUCAAAGCAUAACUCAUAAAUUAGUGUCUAAGUAACGAUAAAUAGAAAAGACCAUUGUGGGAUUAACCUUUACCAUGUCCAUUUGUUUUCUUGAAAUAAUCUAUGGAUAUUAACUUAAAAAGAAUAAAAAAAUUUAUUUGACUUGAAAAUUAAAAAAAAUUCUAAAAAUUCUAAAUUCCAAAACUUAUUUCAUACUUUGUCCUCAAGGUGUAGAAAAAUAGUAAAUAAAAUAAAAUAAGAAACAAAACAAAAGAAUAAAUGAUAAAUAAAACAAAAACAAAUAUAAAAGAAAAUGGACACACCUGGGCUCAUUUGAGAAGUCCUCAAGGUAUGACAACCCGUGGGCCUUCGAAAGAUCAAAACGUGCUGAUAGUGGAAUGCCCCCAUGUUUCUGAUGCCCCAUUUCACAACCCUAAGGGAGCAUUUUUUCUCACUAACCUAAAUUUUGUUGUAUGUUUAUCAUACAUCUAAUUAUUUAUCAUGUGUCAUUUUACUUAAUUUUGAGUAAUUUUUUUUCAAAAUUAAAAAAUUAACAUUUAAUGUGAAAAUUCACAAAGAUUAAAUGAAAUGACACGUGAUAAAUAAUUAGGUAUAUAAUGAGCAUACGUCAAAGUUUAGGGUUGAGGAGCAUUUUAUUUGACGAGCAUACGCCAAAAUUUAGGAUGAUGAGCAAAAAUGCUCCCCAACCCUAAAGCUGCCCCUUGUGCUCAAACGGCUCUCCUCCCCUUGAAUUCAAAACAGCUCAAAAAAUCAGACAGAAAAUGCACACGAUUGACACACAUGUCGUGCAUCCGUCCGUGUAUGGGUCUCCUUAGGGUUCCAAACAGAAAAAUACUGUUCAUUAACAGUACACGAAAUGCCCCUGGAGUGAGGGAUGAGAGAGAUUGACAGUGGAAAAAUCUCUCCUACAGCCGGAUCUCUGGAAUUUUCCAUGGUUUCUAUCCCCCACUAAUUCCUCUCCCCCUCCUUCCCGCGCCUAAUUCACUCAGCCCUCACCUCUCUCUACCCCACUCAGACUCCCCCAUCUCCCAACACUGUCAAUCUCUCUCAUCCCUCACUACUCUGCCUCUACCAUCUGUCUCAUUCUCCCUCUCCGCAAAACCGAGAACCACCAUCACAUCAUCUCCAAACACCACCCAAACAAAAUAACGUCCCUGGAGCUUUUGCGCUGAUUCCAGUUUUUUUAGCGGUUUCCAAGAAACGCAGUCUGCGAUGCCUGUUCCGUCCUGAUUUGAGGAAGAUUUCUCUAGCGACUGUAAUUUCAUGGUAAGUUGGCUUAAAACAGUUCCAAAAUUUGGGAUUGUUUGGGAUAUUUUUAGGGUUUUCCGGUUCUUGAAGAAAAAUCAUGGUUAAGAGUAAAUUAAUUACAUUUUAAUUUUCAUUUAAUUCAGGUAACCGUCUUCAGUUGGUUGUUUUGAACGCUGGAACCAGUGAUCUUUGAAAACGGUUGGUUCUUGAAUAAUUUUAUUUAUAAUUUAUAUCCUUUUGUUGUUUGAAUGGACUUCCUGUAAUCUAAAUGAAGCUACAUAUCUGUUUUUGUAUUCUGUAUUUGCUUUGUCAAAUUACUUCUUUUUUGUUGAAAAAUGUUAUUUGGUUUUGCAGAUCAAAGGGGUUAAUGGUUAUGUGUUCUUCUUGAUAAUUGUAUGUGUUUAUGCCCUCAUGAUAUUGUGAGAUAUCAUGGGAUGUUUGUGUCUUGAAGCACUUUUCAUUGUUCAUGGUAGUCUAGUAAAAGCUAAAAUGUCUCUCAUUCCUCGCAGAGCUGAAUGUGUUUUAGAAACCUAGCGCUUUCUCACAUGAAUUUUAAAAAGGAACUUUAACGAAAAGCACCCGGUACUGUUCAUUUUAACGAAAAAUCAUAUUUUUACACUAAAAAGUCAAUCCUGGUACUAUUUACUUUACCCUUUAUUUUGUUCUUAUCAUUAAAAUUCAAAGUUUUUUCAUUAGUUUUCAUUUUUAAAAAUUGUUUUCGUUUCUCCUUCUUUAAAAAUUGCAGAUUUAAUUAACUUUUUAAAUUAAAUUCGUUUUUCUUAAUUUAAGUCUUUAAAUCACCAUUUUCUAAUAUUUUGUUCUUAACAAUUAGUUGAGUUUUGGUUUACAUAAAUUUAUUUAAAUUAAUUUCUGUGGUGAACGACUUUGCUUAACUCCGCCGUGUAAGUUUAUCUUACAUUGCCGGUCCCAAGCCCGGAUAAAGGAGGAGGGGGAGGGCGUCAGGUAGUCGACAGCCGGCACUCCAUGAUCACGUCGAAUCCUUAUGAAAAUGAAUCCAGAACGAAAUCGCGCUAAAGCUAGGGCGUCACCCGUAAGUGGCGCGUUGUGUGGCCUGAGCACAGUGAUAAGUGAGCAAGGGUCGCUGUAUCUCCAUCGGCACCCGGAUACAGUGUUAAAUGAGCAAGGGGGCUAUAGAAACUUCUUUUCGAACGACUCCACUCAAAGUUGUUUGGGAGCAUAUGCUCCUAUCAACUUUACAGGGGACACACAAAAGAAGUACUUUGAUCCUAUUAGACGGGGAAGGGUGAAGAAGCUAGGACAGAAGGGUAGAGUUCAAGAGAGCAAAAUGCGUUUAGGAACGUGGAAUAUAUAGGAACCUUGACGGGAAAAUCUAUGGAAGUAGUAGAAGUUAUGGUGAGGAGAAGGAUAAAUAUUUAUGUGCCUACAAGAAACUAAGUGGGUUGGUCGUAAGGCAAAGGAUCUAGAAAACUCAGGGUUUAAACUAUGGUAUUCGGGCACAAAUAGAACGAGAAACGGUGUUGGCAUCAUCGUGGACAAGACCUUGACACAAGAUGUUGUAGAUGUCAAGAGGGUAGGAGAUAGAAUCAUGGCAAUCAAGAUUGUAAUAGGACAAGAACUUAUCAAUGUGAUUAGUGCGUACGCACCUCAAGUAGGGUUGGAUACGAGUUCGAAAGAGAAAUUUUGGGAAGACCUUGGAGACUUGGUGCAAGGAAUUGCUCAGACGGAGAAGUUAUUUAUAGGAGGAGAUUUUAAUGGACACGUGGGCAGGGAGACAGGCAACUAUGGAGGUUUUCAUGGUGGCCAUGGUUUUGGGGAGAGAAACGAGGAUGGGGAAGCUAUCUUGGAUUUUGCAAUGGCAUAUGAUCUCUUCUUAGCCAACACCUUCUUUAAGAAGAGAGAAGAACAUGUGAUCACCUACAAGAGUGGGUCGUCAAAAACACAAAUAGAUUUUCUUCUAAUGAGGAAAGGGGAUCGUAUAACUUGUAAGGAUUGCAAAGUUAUACCAGGAGAGAGCGUGACUAAUCAACAUCGCUUGUUGGUGAUGGAUGUACAUAUCAAAAGAGUGAGAAAAAAGAACAAGACUUGGAAGUGCCCAAGGACUAGAUGGUGGAAUCUAAAAGAAGAAAAACAAGCCAUUUUCAAAGAGAAAGUAAUCACCCAGUGUGUGUGGGAUAGAGAGGGGGAAGCUAACCAAAUGUGGGAUUCCAUGGCUAGUUGUAUCCGAAAAGUAGCAAAAGAGGUAUUAGGAGAGUCCAAGGGCUUUGCCCCACACCAAAAGGAAUCUUGGUGGUGGAAUGAGGAGGUACAAGCAAAGGUGAAGGCUAAGAAGGAAUGUUGUAAAGCCUUAUAUAAGCAUAGGACCGAUGAAAAUGGUGAAAGGUAUAGAAAAGCGAAGCAAGAGGCGAAGAAAGUUGUGAGAGAAGCUAAGUUAGCGGCUUAUGACGAUAUGUAUAAGCGACUAGAUACCAAAGAAGGAGAGUUGGAUAUCUAUAAACUAGCUAGAGCAAGGGAAAAGAAGACAAAGGACCUAAACCAAGUGAGGUGCAUCAAGGAUGAGGAUGGAAAGGUUCUUGCUACAGAGAACGCGGUUAAAGACAGAUGGAAAGGUUAUUUCAUAAUCUUUUCAAUGAAGGACAUGAAAGGAGUGAUUCUUUAGGGGAGUUGAGUAACUCAGAAGAGUGUAGAAACUACUCUUUUUAUCGUAGAAUCCGAAAGGAAGAAGUGGGUGUAGCUUUGAAGAAGAUGAAGCAUAGAAAAGCAGUAGGCCCAGACGAUAUACCAAUCGAAGUGUGGAAAGUUUUGGGAGAGAUAGGUAUAACAUGGCUCACUGACCUUUUCAAUAGGAUUUUGAAAACGAAGAAGAUGCCGAAUGAGUGGCGAAUGAGCACUUUGGUGCCUAUCUACAAGAAUAAGGGCGAUGUACAAAAUUGCAUGAACUAUAGGGGAAUUAAGCUAAUGAGUCAUACAAUGAAGCUCUGGGAGAGAGUCAUUGAGCAUAGAUUGAGGCAAGAGACACGGGUUUCGGACAACCAAUUCGGGUUCAUGCCAGGGCGCUCAACCAUGGAGGCAAUCUAUCUCUUACGAAGAUUGAUGGAAAAAUAUAGAGAUGGGAAAAAGGAUUUACACAUGGUCUUUAUAGAUUUGGAAAAAGCGUAUGAUAAGGUCCCAAGAGACAUUCUUUGGAGGAUUUUAGAGAAGAAAGGAGUACGAGUAGCAUAUAUCCAAGCUAUACAGGAUAUGUAUGAAGGAGCAAAGACUGCCGUAAGAACUCAUGAAGGACAAACCGAAAGCUUUCCCAUAACUGUAGGAUUACAUCAAGGCUCAUCCUUAAGUCCUUACCUUUUUGCGUUGGUAAUGGAUGAGUUAACAGGACAUAUUCAAGGUGAUAUUCCUUGGUGUAUGCUUUUCGCAGACGAUAUAGUGUUGAUAGAUGAAACUCAGGAAGGGGUAAAUGCAAAGCUUAACCUUUGGAGAGAAGUGUUGGAAUCUAAAGGUCUUCGCCUAAGCCGAUCAAAGACAGAAUAUAUGGAGUGCAAGUUCAGUGCAAAUGGAGGCCAAAACGAGUUAGGGGUGAGGAUCGGAGAUCAAGAAAUACCAAAGAGCGACCGUUUUCGUUACCUAGGAUCUAUCUUGCAAAAGAACGGAGAAUUAGAUGGAGAUCUCAACCAUAGAAUACAAGCUGGAUGGAUGAAGUGGAAGAGUGCAUCCGGCGUGUUGUGUGACCGCCGUAUGCCACUGAAGCUCAAGGGAAAAUUUUAUAGGACGGCAAUAAGGCCGGCGAUGCUGUAUGGCACAGAAUGUUGGGCGGUGAAGCAUCAACACGUACACAAAAUGGGUGUAGCAGGAGAUGAGGAUGCUUCGUUGGAUGUGUGGGCACACGAGAAAGGAUAAGAUUAGGAAUGAGGAUAUCCGGGGUAAAGUAGGAGUAGCCGAAAUUGAAGGAAAGAUGAGAGAAAAUCGGUUACGGUGGUUUGGACAUGUGCAAAGAAGGCCUACUGACGCUCCGAUUAGAAGAUGCGACUAUGGGACAGAGGGUUCAGGGCCGAAGGGGCAGAGAAAGACCUAGGAAAACUUUGGAAGAGACCCUAAGAAAAGACUUAGAGUACUUGGAUCUAACGGAGGACAUGACACAGGACAGAACACAAUGGCGUUCUAAGAUUCAUAUAGCCGAUCCCACUCAGUGACUUGGAUUUUCCAAGUCUCCAACCGAGAAGUUUUCCUCACUCGGGAAAUUAAGGGAACACUACCUCAACCUAUAUGCUCCACUCACAAAGCUUCAACAUACAAGCUUCAACAAAAGAAAAUUCAAAGAACUUAGCGAAGAAGGCUUUGGUGUAUUUAACACAAUACGUUGAAAUGAAGGAAAGCUUAUUUAUUGAUAUCCCCGAUAAGUUACAAAUAUGUACAUAUACUUGAGUCAAAAUAAACAAACAAGAGGGAGCCUUCACAAAGGUUGCUUAGGAGAAGUCUCAGCAGUCGGUAGAGCCCCAGAAAGAGAAGGCACCGGAGGGGGAUCAUUCGGAGCCUCAGUACUGGACAGAACCCCUAGAAGGAGGAGGCAUCAGAGGUUGAUCAUUUGGAGCUUCAUUACGCGGUACAGCCCCAGAAGACGAAGGCAAUAAAUGCCUUUGGAACAAACCCACAAAUCUCUGAUGAUCAAGUAAAACCUGACCAUCAGAUUCCUUCAUCUGGUCAAGCUUCCUCUUCAUGUUUGUAGCAUAGUCAUGUGCGAGCCGGUGCAACUGUUUAUUCUCAUGCUUGAGCCCUCUAAUCUCCUGUUUGAGACUCAUCACUUCAGCCGCCAAUGAUUCAACUUGGCGGGUUCGAGCAAAUAGGCGUUGGGCCAUAUUAGACACAGAACCUGCACACUGAACACUGAGAGCCAGAGAAUCCUUAACAGCCAACUCAUCAGACCGUUUGGAAAGUAGUCUGUUAUCUUUGGGAGUGAGAAGGUUCCUGGCCACUACCGCAGCGGUCAUAUCAUUCUUCAUCACGGAAUCCCCAACGGUAAGAGGACCAGUAGGGGAGACGAAGGAUGGGCGCCAUAUGUUGUCUGGAGAAGGCGGGGCUGCCUCUUCAACAAGGUUCAAGUCAAAACGACGGUCGGAGGGGCCAGACAUUUUCAAAGGUGUUGAAGAGAGAAGAGGUCGGACAAAUCAAGAUCUUAGAAGUGCAAGAAUGGAGCUUCUACUGGUGGAUAUUCAAGUGUGCUUUGGAACUUAAUGUCAGCCCCUAUAAAAAUCUGCACUCGACGAAGCUUCAGAAAUCGAAGAGGCGCCUGCUCAGAAAUCGAAGAGGCGUUUGCUUUCUCAAAAGCUGGGCUGCUCAGAGACCACGAGGGUCGAUCUCAGAAAUCGAAGAGGCGUUUGCUUUCUCAAAAGCUGGGCUGCUCAAAGACCACGAAGGCCGAUCUCAGAAAUCGAAGAGGCUUGCUUUCUCAAAAGCUGGGCUGCUCAGAGACCACGAGGGCCGAUCUCAGAAAUCGAAGAGGCACCUACUUUUUCCAGCCUUGUCAGCACCUGUCACACGCACACUCAGCUUUGCGGAAAUUAUGGGCAUUCUGUCGAAGAUUUCUGGCGAAGUAGAAAGCACAUGAAUCGUACUGUUCAAUCACCCACUUCCCACACGCAACAGUAGCUCAUGGGUACCACAGAUAACUUUGCCAAAGUUCUCUGACAAAGUUGAGACACGUGAAGCUUGCAGCUCCCACUACAUCGCUCUGACCAAGAAGGGUAAAAGAAUAGCAAAGAAACAACACUAACAAAGUUUAGACACAUAAAUUUUGAAGGUCUAGCUACCAUAUUAUUACCCACAAGGGUAAAGGAACAGUACCACUGCUGGAUAAUUGGAAAGUCCCGGUGUGUCAACCUCUGUGCUUCGUGGCAAGGUAGACUAGCAAACAUGCCCAACCUUUACUCACAUUCGAGAAAACACUCCCAACAAGAUUGCUUGCUCCAAAAUCGAAGAGGCACCGCCCUCCGAAUCUCGAGAGCCAGACUCCCAACAUGAUUACUUUCUCAAAAAUCGAAGAGAGGGUAAAGGAACAGUACCACUGCUGGAUAAUUGGAAAGUCCCUGUGUGUCAACCUCUGUGCUUCGUGGCAAGGUAGACUAGCAAACAUGCCCAACCUUUACUCACAUUCGAGAAAAACACUCCCCAACAAGAUUGCUUGCUCCAAAAUCGAAGAGGCACCGCCCUCCGAAUCUCGAGAGCCAGACUCCCAACAUGAUUACUUUCUCAAAAAUCGAAGAGAGGGUAAAGGAACAGUACCACUGCUGGAUAAUUGGAAAGUCCCUGUGUGUCAACCUCUGUGCUUCGUGGCAAGGUAGACUAGCAAACAUGCCCAACCUUUACUCACAUUCGAGAAAACACUCCCAACAAGAUUGCUUGCUCCAAAAUCGAAGAGGCACCGCCCUCCGAAUCUCGAGAGCCAGACUCCCAACAUGAUUACUUUCUCAAAAAUCGAAGAGACAUCCGCUCUCCGAAUCUCGAGAGCCAGACCCCCAGCAGGAUUGCUUUCUCAAAAAUCGAAGAGGCAUCGUUUCUCCGAAUCUUCGAAGAGCCAGGAUCUCCUUGGAUAAAGCUUGUCUGUAAUCUUCACACGCAACAUCAGCUUUCCAGAUACCACAGACCACUUUUUCAAAGUGCUCUGACAGAGUUAAAACAUGUGAAGCUGGCAGCUCCCACUACCGUGCUAUGACCAAGCAGGGUAAAGGAAUAACAUUAUUACUUGAUGUUAGGGAGACUCCUAUAUAUGUCGACCUCCAUCCCUAACGGACAGGCAGACCUGCAAAAAUGCUCAACCCUUCCUCUUAUCUGAGAGGGCACUCCCAACGAAGCCUUUCGAAAUAUUCAGCUUUCUUUCCCCCCGAUAAUACCUCUGUAAACAAGCUAUACUAGAGCAAGAAUAUCUCAUAUCAUCAGGGUUAAAAGCAAGAGUAUCCCAUAUCAUGCUUUUUCCCUGUCUUUUCCUUUGGCCUUGUUCUUACCUGCAAGACAAGGAGAAAGAGAGCAAUCAGUCAGCACUUGGAAUCAAGCUUCCAGCCAGGAACUGACUGCCUGGAACCCCUUACCUGAUUACUUACCUGGCAUUGCUCUCGAGUACUCAUCUUCAACAUCUUAUGCUUCCAGGGAAGAUACCGCAUCUGCCUGAGGAACAGAUAGGGCAAGUGAGAAGGAUACAAGGAAGCAUGUGGAGACAAGCGUAACAGCACACGUGCCGAUACAUCCACUACUCUGUCAAAAGCAAAAGUAUCCCAUAUCAGCAGGGUCGAACGUACUCUAGAUUUGAUGGACUUGUUUUGACCCUCAAAUUCUUCAGUCGGCCUUAUACUCUGGAGGAAACCAGAAAACCCUCCAGCCCAGUUCAAGAAUAAGCCUGUGGAAAGUUACUUCUUCAAAAGCAAAAGUAUCCCAUAUCAUCUCUUCUCAUUUUUCUUCUCUUUAUCCUUCAUGCUGCCUGCAAGAUAGGGAGAAUGUGAACAAUCAGCCGGAGCUCUGAUUGCUUACCUUGUCUGUCACCUCUUUCAGCAGAUCCCCUAGCUCGGCGACUUGGGGGACUCCUACUACAUGGUUUGUAUCGCGCUUGACCAAGCCUGAAACUACAAGUAAGCUUCAAGUGAAAUUGAUACAUUACCUUGUGCAUCUCCACCAGUUACAGAUACCACCCCUGGAUGGAGGAAGAGUACUUCCAGAGAAGAUGCCUACCUAUGAGACAGAUAAGGCAAGUCAAGACGAUACCACACUCCGGUACUUAGAAGUUUCGUGGCUUACGAGAUCAUUCUCCCACAAUAUUUCCUAAUGUCAUUUGUACUAAAUCAUUCACUUGUACUCACUAAAGGAGAGCUUGAACCUAUGUACUUGUGUAAACCCUUCACAAUUAAUGAGAACUCCUCUAUUCCGUGGACGUAGCCAAUCUGGGUGAACCACGUACAUCUUGUGUUUGCUUUCCUAUCUCUAUCCAUUUAUAUACUUAUCCACACUAAUGACCGGAGCAAUCUAGCGAAGAUCACAAAAAGUGACCGUUUUCGCUACCUAGGAUCUAUCUUGCAAGAGAACGGAGAAUUAGAUGGAGAUCUCAACCAUAGAAUACAAGCUGGAUGGAUGAAGUGUAAGAGUGCAUCCGGCGUGUUGUGUGACCGUCGUAGGCCACUGAAGCUCAAGGGAAAAUUUUAUAGGACGGCAAUAAGGCCAGCGAUGUUGUAUGGCACAGAAUGUUGGGCGGUGAAGCAUCAACACGUACACAAAAUGGGUGUAGCGGAGAUGAGGAUGCUUCGUGGGAUGUAUGGGCACACGAGAAAGGAUAAGAUUGGGAAUGAGGAUAUCCGAGGUAAAGUAGGAGUAGCCAAAAUUGAAGGAAAUAUAAGAGAAAAUCGGUUCCGGUGGUUUGGACAUGUGCAAAGAAGGCCUACUGACGCUCCGGUUCGAAAAUGUGACUACGGGACAGAGGUUCGGGGCCGAAGGAGUAGAGGAAGACCUAGGAAAACUUUGGAAGAGACCCUAAGAAAAGACUUGAGUACUUGGAUCUAACGGAGGACAUGACACAAAUGAGCGCAAUGGCGUUCUAGGAUUCAUAUAGCCGACCCCACUUAGUGGGAAAAGGCUUUGUUGUUGUUGUUGUUGUUGUUGGUGAACGACUUUGCUUGAGCCAAUUAUACUACGAUAAUCUUGUUUCUCUAACAAGUAUUUUAGUUGUUUUUAACCUUUUCCAGGUGUAAAAAUAUCUGUCACCCCCUCAACAUGGAUGCCUCUAAUAUGGCUAAUCAGUCAGACCGACAUCCAACCGAUCGGGUCGGUGUCGGGUCGGUGACCAGAUCGAGCUAGCAGAUCAGACCGACAUCCAAGAAGCUGCAAAAUUAGAAGGCAACAAUAUUACAGUUUUAACAAGUAGCAUGGAUCCUGAUGCUUUCAACGCUGCAAAACAAGGCAAUCUCGAUGUCCUUAAGGAACAUGGCGAGAAUCUGGACAAAAUAUUGACUGCAACCAAGAACACAGUCCUUCAUAUCUAUACAACAUGCUAUAGGCACCCAACGUAUGAAGGAUCUGGCGAUGAGAUACUUGAGUCAAUGAACACUGUGAACGGUAUCCUUAAAAUGUGUCCAGUAUUACUAUGACAGCAGAACGAGAGUGGUGAUACUGCCCUACACAUUGCGGCAAGAUAUGGGCGUGCUGGUAUAGUUAUAGCUCUCAUCCAAGCUGCAAAAACUUAUUAUCCAGGCAACCUCGAGCAAGGCUGUGCGAUUGCAUCAGAAGAUGCCCUCUCGUAGGAGCAAAAGCUCAUCAGGAAAACCAACAAGAAGAAUGACACAGCACUACACAAAGUUGUUCGCGCUUCACCACACCAAAGUAAUUAAAGCGGACAACUUCGUGCAGUGUUGUGUCCUUCUUGUUGUUGGUUUUCCUGAUGAGCUUUUGCUCCUGCGAAGGGGCAUCUUCUGAUGUGAUCGCACAGCCUUGAUCAAGGUUGCCUGGAUAAUAAGUUUUUGUAGCUUGGAUGAGAGCUAUAACUAUACCAGCACGCCCAUAUCUUGCCGCGAUGUGUAGAGCAGUAUCACCACUCUCGUUCUGCUGCCAUAGUAAUGCUGGACACAUUUUAAGGAUACCCUUUCACAGUGUUCACUUAGAAAACCCUGAGUUUUCCUACUCUGCUGAUGAUGCCGGCGAGACUCCUCUCUACCUAGCUGUCGAGAGGGGAUACGAUCAUUAUUGUCUUCAAAUACUUGAAGGUUGCAAAAAUCCAACAUAUGAAGGCCCAAAUGGUAGGAUGGCUUUGCACGCUGCAGUUAUCCGCAAUGAUGAAGGUAAAUGUAUAUAGAAAAUAGUUAAAGAAUAUUCCUUUUAUCUGUGAUUUUGCAAUUGAAUUCUUGGGAUAGUCUUGUGAUUAUUGUAGGGUUUCAUGCUUUAGUUUUAAGCGACCCCCUUCGUUAAUCUUGCUGUAUUCAUUAUGAAUUUUGUUUCACCUUGCAGCUGUUGCCGGCGUGCAUUUGUCACACAAAACUGCCGGGAACCUUUCAGCCAUAUUCGAUGUUGGAGGAGUCUUUGGUGGAAUUUUAGCAGGAUUGAUAUCUGAUAUGCUCGAAGCUAGAGCUGUAACCUCAAUCGCGUUUUUGUUACUUUCGGUUCCAGCCCUUGUUCUCUACCGGUUUUAUGGAAGCCUAUCGAUGGUCGCCAACAUUGUUUUGAUGUUUCUUUCGGGAUUGCUGGUGAAUGGGCCGUACUCACUCAUCACAACAGCCGCUGCUGCUGAUCUUGGUACGCAGACCACGAUCAAAGGAAAUUCCCAAGCAUUAGCCACUGUAACUGCAAUCAUAGACGGAAUAGGUUCUGUUGCAGCUCUUGGCCCGCUUUUGGCCGGGUAUAUCUCCACGACGGGGUGGAACAACGUGUUUGUUAUACUGAUUCUUGCUAUUUUCUGUGCAAUUUGUUUUUGAUUCGGAUUGCGAGAACCGAGAUUAAAGGGAAAUUGAAUGAGGGAAAAUGGUCUUUAUAUAGCCGCAUAGGAGGCACACAGUGAUUGAGAUUUUCUAAUUUCUUGUCAUACCACAAAAGCAAGUAGAAUUUAGGCAGAUCCAUUUCUCUGUACGGUUUUUUAUCUCAUUGUUUUGUUCAACAUUCAUUAUUCAAAAUUCAACUUAUUUUUAAAAUAGAAAUUUGGUUACUUCGCUGCGGCAAUCCACCUCAGAAUGUUUAGAAUGGUGGCUCCUGCUCCUUGGGAGGUACCAAAUAAAUGACUACUUGAAUUGGGAUUUUGAGCAUAAAGAUUCCACUGGUCUGUAAAAAGUGGACCUAAUCCUUGGGGAUGUGGCAAUACAUCUAAGAAAUUAUUCCAUCGAAUGUUUUCUCCCCUGGAUUCGGGAAUGGCGACAUGAACUAAAUGUCCUGUCCAAGCCAAGGAACUCACUCCGAAUAGUUCUGAUAAGUGAUGAUUUGGAUGAAAUUCGACAUUUUUAGAUAAAGAAGUGCUUUGAAUCAUUGCUAUUCGACUUGUUUGUUGACACGGACAAAGUCAAGGAAAAACAUUUGAAAUUAUUUCAAUAUUGGACCUUGGACAUAUAAUAGUACCGAAUAGAAUCUCUUUAGAAAAAAAGAUCUUUUGUCUCAUGUUAGCCUGCUCCAGUUCCCUUACGAAACUUAAAGAGUUAGAGAGUUAAGCGGAAAUAAACAUAAACAGAAGUGUUUUCCCCCAAGAUUGGUUGGUUAGUCAUCCUGACUUGAAACAGGUUCCAAAGAUCAACUGAUUGGCCGUGUAUUAGCAGACGAUAUAUAUAUAGGCACACGAUGUAUUGCCGUUCGAAAUCAAGUAUUGGGAUUGGACUUGUCACUUGAUUCAUAACCUUUCAAACACAACCAAUAUCUAUCUGAACCUCCUUUACUUAUAGGAGUACAUCUUGGAUCUGUCGAUUAUGUUAUGGCAGAAACCCCACUCAUGGUGACCUGGUUGAAUUGGGAGAAACUGUAGGUAUUAUUGCAGGUCAAUCUAACCCUUCUUGAAGCCAGGACAAAACACAACUUAUUGAUUAUACCACAAAAGUUGGUUUUUAUUAAUUUUCUCUUAAAAUUUUUUAUUUUUAUUUUUUCAAUUUGGUGUGUAUAUGUCACGUGGACAGUCCAUGAGCCACUUAAAAGGUGAACGAUUUUUGGCCCUCACUACACCCACCGUCGUGAACGAAUUGAACGCAUACUCUAACAACCAUAUAUCUGAGUGCACCAAAAUGACAAUUUAACCCUCGUAAGUAGCUCGAGUAUUGUUCGCGUGACAAAUGUGAAAACAAUUUUGAAUAGGGGCUCGAUUGAAUGUGCUUUUAAAAUGACUGAAAGAGUUUUUGGUUAAAAUGUUUUUAGAACCAAUAUUUAAUAAAAAUGUAAGUGAAUCCUAAAAAAGUACUUGAAGUGCUUUCUAGAAGAAAUUCAAGUGCUUUUAAAACUUAAAAACAUUUUUUUUAAACUUAUUUUAAAAGCGGUUUCAGUUAUUCUAAAAGUACUUUCAGAUAAACCUUCCAAUGUUGAGUCAUUUAAAACCGAGCACAAACAUGGCACGUCGUCAAUUUCUUUUAAUGACGAUAAAAUGGUAAAAGGGAUCCUGGGCUAAAUUCACCAAUCCAGGCUCUUGAAAUUUGAUCCAACUAUCAAGGUUAUUAUAACUUUUAAAGAAGGUCAUGUUUUUAGCCGUUGGAUCAAAUUUCGAUCAUUUUCCAAUAAAAUGACGUGGUUUCGGCCCCCGUUUCCUGUUCUUUGCCCGCGCAAGCACUUUGUACCUUCAGGCCCAAGGAAGAAAAAAAGGGAAAGGGUUUCCCUAUUGGCCGUGGGAUUACUCAAAAGAGUUAGAAAUGACCUAUUUUUGAUAGGAAAACCAUGUCAAUUACCUGUUUAAACAUGGAUUUCUACGCACCACUAUAAAUGAACACCCUCCCUCCCGCCACCAUGAACGAACACAAACAACACCAACAGUUUCUCGAGCUCUUAAUUUCCCGGCCGCGAAAAACUUGUAAGUCGAGAGGAAUUCAACUUGUAAGUCGAGACAUGGGUUCGGCUGGCUCGAAGAGCAAGCAAGACAAUGCGAAGAGAAAGGACUUGAUGAAAUCAGUGAAGAUGAACAGGUACGCGUUUGCGGAUGCACAGCGCGAGCAUAUUCUCGCGCUCCUUAAAGUAGCGGAGGCUAUAAAGUUGUUUGUAGAAAGCCAUUCUUUCGAAGUUUCGACGCACUCUUCAAAUGCAGACAGAGGAAACGAGCUGCAGGAAAACUCAGACUGUGCUGAGACAGAUGAGGAACAAGAGGAGGUGGAUCAAACAGUGCCGUCACCGCGGGGAGAUUCCGAUUGCUCCGAUGGUGACGGUGAUAGAAAAGAGGUGGUGAAGACAAGUAAUGAAAAGGGUAGAGAGAGAGAAUUGUUGGAAGCAUUGAAAGAUGUCGAAGACUACUUCCGUCGGGCGUAUGAUUCUGGUUUGCACGUUUCGAGGAUGUUAGAGACCGACAUGGCUCAGGUGCAAUCAGCAGCCGAGGAAAUUAAAGGGAAUCUCAACCGUUCAAUGACGCGGAGCCGCUCCAUCUCAUCUACAUUAUCUUGGUCUUCCUCUCGUAAAAGUCUACGUAAAUCUAGCUUAAGAAGUUCUUCAACACGGGCUUGUUUCGAUGGUGGUCUCCUCGGUGACAAGGGAUCUCCAAGCCAUUCGUUAACGAUAGGAAAGCUAUAUGCUUUGGAGGAAAACCUCUACAGCGAGCAGAAGGUAAUAGAGGAAACUGAGAAAAUUUGUGACCGAAAAUCGGAAGAUCUAGACACCAAAAUAUACGAGAUUGAAAGCUUGUAUUGCAGAAUUUUGACGGCCAAAAAGAAUGCUAAAUCAAUCUCCGAGACAAUUCGGAAAAUGAGAGAUGAAGAGCUACAACCACAGCUCGUUAAGUUGUUAAAAAGGUAACCUAGAUUUCAUAGUUUUACUGGUUUUUUUUUUUUAGUUGGAGUUUUGUUCUAACCUCUCUUUCUCAAUUUCUGCAGCAUAAUGAGCAACUCAAAGAAAAUGUCUGAAUUUCUGGAAACCCAAAAGAGAAUAAUGUCCGAAGUGAACUCUCUCAAAUGUCCGUCCAAUGGAACGCUCUGCAAUGACUCGAACCAGGUUGCUACUCGGAUGCUCGAAAAGGAACUUCUAAAUUGGCGUACACACUUUGCGUCGUAUGUUUCUUCGCAAAAGGCGUACGUCAAAGCUCUAGACCGCUGGCUAGCUAAGUUGGACGAUGCUGAAACUGAAAGCAAGUUAAAAUCAAAGGGGGUUAACCCGUCAUCGCUUGCAAUUUGUCGACAGUGGUCAGAUGGCCUAGAUAAGCUGCCGUAUCAAGCUGUGACUGGCGCCAUCAAAAGCUUCGUGAAAGAUGUCCGGGCACUGAGGGAUCAACAACAUAAGGAGCGCCGACAAAAGAGGGAGGUUGACAAGCUUGCCAGAAGACUCAGGAGGGAGAAUUUUUUGCAGGAAACAGACCUCAAGGAACAGAUGCGGACUGAGAAGAAGAAACUUCAUACUAUUACGCAGAAGAUGCAAGAUAUCGCUGUGAACGGAUUUCAGACGCAGUUUUCUGAAGUUUUCGGUUCCAUGGCUAAAUUUUUCGACUCCAUGGCCGAGUUGUUUUCAAAGUCUGCUACAAAAAAGUCUGGUCGUCCAAGCAAAAAUGCAAGCAGGACUCGUGUGAAAGCGAUCGACAGAUGAAAAGGAUGCGUACUAGGUUUUCAGAAUGUUGGGUUUCUUUUAAAGUAUACAAUUAUGUACUCUUGUUCGAAUAACAGUAACCUUAACAAUUACAAAUUUUGAGUUCUAACAGAUAAAAUUUAUGCAUACGACUUGAAAAACUAAGGUACAAUAACAGAACAAUCUCUCCGUAAAUCCGACCAGCCUGAAUACCUCGGAUAUACAAUGCGUUCUUUCAUCGAAUAAGCUUUCUAACUCUAUCGUUCGCCAAUAGGGUACAAGUAUUUAUUCCAAAACUCGAUAAUACAAACAUCUUCUGCAUCCUUGUUCUCUGGAACAGAUUCCAGCACCGGAUUUUGGAUGAAUGUAUAUACAUAAGGCGAACUCAGGUCCAUUGGCUGUAUUAUUGCUGACCGGUUGCCCAUCAAGGAAUUAUCGACAAAUAAACGAGUGAUUCUAUCUGUCCAAGAAGAAUUUGAGAUUCUGAAGUCCCUCGGCAGAAAUGCUUCGUCUGACUCGAGGUCUCUCUACCACCACAUGUGGAGGUGGCUCCAAGUGGAAACUUACCAUGACAAGCGUCAAAUUGUCCGUUGCUCCCCGCUUUAUUGCCUCCUCUACUAUUUGCUUGCAGCACAACUUCACAUCAUUGUGCUCUUGCAGUCUCCUUCGAGCGAAAUCAACAGCAUUUCGGCUGGUGAACACAUCCCAUAUCCCAUCACUGCCAAUGAUCAAAAACUCAUCAUCUUUGCUCAGUGUCAUCAGUUUAAGUUCUGGCUCAGCGCUCAAGGGUCCGCCCCUUUCACCCACGUCCUUCAUUCCUUCAAGAUGCCAAUUACCUAAUGCACGGGUCACACCUAACUCACCAUUUAGAAAACCAUCAUCAAUAUAUCCACCCAAGGACUCAAUCCGCGUUCUUUCUUUUGUACAACAUGGCCUAUGAUCCCUUGACAUUUCUAUAGCCACUCCACAUCGCGAUAAUACAGCCCGGCAAUCUCCGGCAUUUGCCACAAGCAAAGAUCUGUUCAAAAUAAUAAUAUCAAGGUGAAACAGGCUAAUUGGCACACAAAAGGUCUAAUAAAUAAAAAAAUAAGCAGUCUCAAGAACGGGGCUUGACAAGGUAAAACCGGAACUUGGGUGGGGAGAUAUAGGGCAUGGAUACCAUUUUUAUUUUUUGUUUUGCUCAUUCAAAGACAAUUCAUUUUUCCACGUAACACCGAAUGAAUGGGCCUAUGAAGUUUUUUCUCUUACUCUUUAACCUGAUGACCAAGACUUGCAGUGACAGAUUAUCCAAGACACCACUUGUAAUAUAACACCAUGAUUAUAAAUAAUAACCAACCUACACCGCAAGAAAGAGUUCCUUACCUCCCAAAUAUCAUUGCAGUGAGUGCAGUUGUGCCAGAAACAAGAGCCUCAAGAGAACACGUCUUUGCAAAUGCAGCAUCUGUCUCCAUAAAUGACCUUGUAAUCACCUUUUCAAGUUCUAAAGGAAAGUCAGCAUCCUCAACAAUGACUCUUGGUAAAUUGUCACGAACAAAGUGUGCUGCAUCCUUUCCUCCAUGGCCAUCAAAUACCUGUUUAUUCAAAUUUCCAUUUACAUUAUUAAGAUUGGAGAAAAAACAGAAGUCAGAACUGAUGUAUGAGCUUUCAUUGGGAUGGUUUGAAUUGUUGUAAAAGGAAGAGAGCGAGAAAACUUACACCAUAGAAGGAGAUAGCUUCCCCACCGAGUAGAUUAUAACCAAACUGCUUAGCUAAGUCACCAAUGCAUAUAUGAGUAUCCUCCAUAUGGGUUCGACCACCAAUAUCAGACCACUCUCCUGACCGAAGGGCAGGAACAAAGUUCAACAGGCUCUGCUUUUUGUCUGCAAUCACUGUAUCCUCGCCUAUGCUUUCAAGCUAAAAGGCGGUAAACAUGAACGAACUCAAAUCAGAAUGUGAAGGAAUGCAAGUAAAAAGAUUAAGGAAACAAAUUUUUGGAAACCAAAGUUACACCAAGUAUUAUAUGCACAGUUUCAUAUGGAAAAUGUUCUCCAACCAGAAAACGAACCACAAAAUCAAUUCACAAAAGUUGACAUAGCAACUAAACAUCAACGCCGACGGGAUGCCACCAAAAGGAUGAGAAAUGAAAACCUACUAAAGCAAAGUCUAAGGCUGUGAAUAUAUAAAUUCUGUCAACACAUAACAAGCACCAAUUUCCCUCCAUAUUCCACAAUCCAAGGAAUCUUUGAAAGGAAGAGCUUUAAUCAUAAGCAUUCAGCUGCACAGAGCACAAUAAGGAAAUACAUAACUUCUGCAAAGGAAUCGCCUCACGAUCAAUGAAAGCGAAACACAGAAGUGAAAUUUACUAAAUUGGGGUGGUUCAAGGCUUCAGGCACAAAAAUUUCGUUUAAGAUGCAGCACAGCAGCAGUACAAGCUAAUGACUACAGGAAAAUUAAUGGGAGCAGUGCAAGGAUAAAAAAAAAUUAACUGAAAGCUUAAGUAAAUAAUAAAGGGUAAAAGUUACUUCCAAUCAUCAAUCCCAUAAGAAAACAAAGAUCCAGAACUCAAUUUCAAACAAAAGGUCCUAAAACGUUUCAAAAUUGAGACAAACCCAACAGAGCAAAGCAGUCAAAGAACAAGAAGCUUCACUUUCAAAUGAAUUCAACAGGGUUUUCUGAAGACUGGACUCAAAUUUUACCAAAUGGGUCCAAAAAAGUUGCAAAAUUGAGAAGAACCCAAUACAAUCAAGCAGUCAAGGGACAAAAGUUUAUACUUGAAAUCAAUUCAACACUCAAGUUUAGCCAAAGGGGUCCUAAAAGUUUCAAACUUGAGACAAACCCAACAUAUUUAAGCAGUCAAAGGACAAGAAUUCUUACUUGAAACGAAUUUAUCAUGUUCUUCUGAGGACUUGAGCUCAUCACAGUAGGAGUUUCCCGGUCCAAAUUCUCCUCCUCCGUCCGGUGGUCUAAUUGCAGAGACCACUGCUUGUUGUUAUUGUCGUUGGAAUCGAUGUCGUUAUUAUUCUCCAUGUUCCCCAUUUCUUGACCGAGCUGUUCUGCGUCUAUCAGGCACAUGAUGGUGCUGAUGAAAUUGUUAAUGGCGGUGUUACUGUGUUUCUGAGGGAAUCGGAAAGUAGUAAGAAACAGAGAGGGAAGAAAAAUAUAGAUUUGUGGGUGACUCUGGUGAGAAGAUUCUGAGAAUAUGUGAGUGGGAAAUAGGGGCCUCUGGUUAUUGUAGUUGUUGUUGUAGUCUCAGAGAGGAGAGAGAGAGAGAGAGAGAGAGAGAGAGAGAGAGAGAGAGAGGAAUGCCAGAUUUUUCUGUGAAAGCGUGGCUGGAAACCAGUUUGUUGGGUUCUUGUGAUAUUAUUAUAUCUUUUUCCUAUUUUCAUUGUUCAAAUGUUUUAUGUUUAUAUUUUUUUUAUUGGUAAAUAAAAAAUUUCAUUUUAUUUUAAAAAUUUACAUUGCAUUUCAUUCUCUUUUUUUAACAAAUAAUUGAAUAAUCUAUAGAAAUUUAUCUAAACCAUGUAAAGUGAGGAAAGUUUCAAUUCGAAACUUCAAGCGGUCCAAAAGCUAUCUAGAUUUGGAGUUAAAAUGAAUUAUUCCCUUAAAAUUAAUAAUUACAAUAGUAAUAGUCAACUGAUUUUACUAUACAUUAUCAAAUAAUAUGAGUUAUCUUCAAUUAGUUGGUGCACUCGUUAAAUCUUUUGAACUUUUUCGGUGCACAUUUAAUUAUUAAAAUGUUUUUAGGUUAUGGAUGAAUUACAUGUCUAUAUUCCACAAGACACGUUCUAAAUUCAAUUUCUGAUGCUGAUGAAUCACAAGAUGACGGUUAAUGAGAAGCUGAAAUGCUUUUGUGAAUCUUCGAGGGUAUGAAAGAAUGAACUGAUGUUGACCAAGGCACGCUAAAAUGCCAUUGUACUUCAUGCAUUUUUGUUUUCUAAUAGUUUCGUUAAAAUCAACAUCUUUAUUUUAUCAAAUCUCAUAAAUUUAGAGAUACCAUUUUUCCCUCAAUAUUUUAGAGAGACGUCAAACUAUGCUCAAAAUUCCCAUAUGGAAGAAAUGUCCUCGAAAUUAUCUAAAAAUGCCUUUAUUUUGCUUUUAUUAAAUCUAAAUUGUCAUUUGAUUAAAUGCCACAACUAGACAAAAAGAAAGUUCCAUCUGAAAAUGUCUUAACCAUUAAUAACUAAUUAAUUAAUUAAUUUGGUAGUAACCACCAUUAGCCAAAAAUCACAGUCUUAAUCGUCCCUUUUUGACAAUAUAUUAUUAGAUGCGUGAGAAUAUACAAUUUUAAGUGCAAUGACCAAAUAUAUUUCACAAUUGAUGAUAAAAAAUAAAUAUAAAACAUUAAAAAAGAAUUGUGCUUACAUCACGCACAGCUGUGGGAUAUGUCCUUGAAUUUUUGAUAAAAAAAGACAUAUAUCAGAAUAUAAAAAAUAAGACAAAUUCCAUGUUGUUUUGGUCGGUAGACAAUUUCCUUAUUUAAACACUAAAAAAAGAAGUUUUGUUUCUUGUUAGAAUUAAAAAAAAAAACCAUUGACCGUGGUAAUAAAUAGAUAAGCUACACAAUAAACCAUCUAUAAUUUUGUAAUCGAAGUUAUUAUCUACAGAAGUCGAAGUCAAAACCGCAUGCUUACAAAUACAAAAAAAUAUAACUAAAUUUAAACUAAGUGACUAAACUAGAAAAGAAGUUAAAAAUGAAAGAAAUGUUUGGGCAAAAAUAGAACAAAAAAUCUCCAAGGAUGGGAUUUGGAAUAGACUUCCAAGAUAUAAGUAACUAUACAUGGUGGUGUUAUUCACACACUUCUUUUUUUACUUUUAACACAUAUUCUGUUAAUUUAUGUCAUUUUAUUCUCUUCAAUUUAUUAAAUAUGAAGGCUAAAAAUUGAAAUAAAUGUGCAGAAGGUAAAUGAGGUGUGUGGAUAGCACCAUCUCUUAUAUAUGAUGGGUUUUGUUUCAUCCUUUUUACCCUCUACACCCCCUUUGUUAGUUUCUGUACUUUAAUUCUCUUCAAUUCAUUAAAUCUGAAAUCUGAAAAAUUGAGAGAAAUGGGUAAAAGGUAAAAAAAUGUGUGUGGAUAGCACCACUUCUAUUGAGUUUUGUUUCGUUGCAUAACUUUCCAUAACACAUAAGAUAGAAGAGUAGUCGGCUUGAUUAAGUUAGCGCAUAUAUACUUAACCCAAAAAUAUUUAAUCUUCCACCUGAUUUUUCCUACACUUGUCCAUCAAGCCUCAGAAUAUGAUGGGAGGAAUUCUACUGCCCCAACAAUUAUUUUCAAAUCCAUAAGAUUUGUCCAAGGCCUAAUAAGUUAAAAGACAAGUUAUAUUAGGAAGUUAGUUUAAUUUAAUUUGACAACAAUUGCUCCAAAAAAGUUAGAAAGUGAAACUAAAGGACAUAUUCAUUAAAAGGAAAUGAUAAUGCCAGAAAAUGACAUUGGAUUUUUUCUUCUGCUUUCCACUUUCACAAUGGCAAAUUGAUAGGGCUUAAAUUCUGAUUCUUGAAUGUAAUCGGGAUAUACAGAUUCUUUAUAUAUUUCUCAUCGUGAAAAUUGAUAUACAUGGAGAAAAAAGUAAUACAGUUGUAUGUAGAACUAUAAAGAAACGAAAUAAAACUUACAUGCAUUUAGAAGUGCACAAUGGUAUUCACAAAUCGUGAUACGUUUCAACAAUUUUUCACAUAAUAAUAAAUAAUUAACUUGAAAUACCACAACCAUAGCAUCCGGUUGUAGAAGUCUUUCGUGCUUUUGCCUUUUGCCUCUACGAAGGGUUGCUUGCUAGUUGCUACAAUACCUCCACUUCUCUGCAACCUGUCCACCAGCACCAUAUUUUUUACAUUUUAAAGUAAUUUUCUUUUUCACAAUAAUUGCACUGCGGCUGUAAAUUCACUGUCAAUUAUUUCCGGUCACUCAAACAAGCUAUUGCUAAAGAGUGGGGGACUCAACUUUUACCCGGUUCACGUGGACGUGGAUCAAAAGCACUUUCGGGCUUUCUCCUUUUCUGUGGUAGUAAAAGUCAAGCCAUGUAAAAGAAGAAAGGGGAGCUAUCUCUUCCUCUUUUAAAAAAUUUAAAGGAAAACUAAUGAAAAUGGUCAGAAAUUUUAAAUUGUAACGAUAAGAACAAAAUAAAUGGUAAAUAAAUAGUAUCAGUAUUGACUUUUUUGUGUAAAAAUAUGAUUUUUCGUUAAAAUAAACAGUACUAAGAUAUUUUCGUUAAAGUUACCAAAUUUUAAUUAUUUGGUUUGGUUGGCAAUUAGCUUAUUAAACACAGAAGGAACCUUCCUAGUCGGCUGAUUACUUAACUUCCAACAGAAGGGAAGGAUACGUGGUUCGGUGCUUACUAGUGGGUGGAGCCUGACGUGGCAUAACAUCGUCCACUAUACAUGGAAAUUGCCGAAUGACGUACAUCAAAUGGAGUCGACAAGACAGGAACGUCUCUAACUAAUUACCUAAUUUUAUGUGAGAAACUUAAAACUUGAAAUUGUAUUAUUGGUCUUGAAUGUUUUAGUGCCAAGUCCUUGUGUUGGCCAUGCUGCUUGGCUAGACAACAGUUAUGUGAAGCAUAGUGAUUUUCGAGCGUCCAUUUUCUUGACAUGAACUCGUUGUUUUUCUAACCCUUGAUGACGCGUUUAUUUAUUAAAAUGAGUGUAUGUAGGAAGCAAAUCAUUUCAAGUCUUAAAUUCCCCCACGUUCAUUAGCACACGAAGAAUAAAAAGAAAGAGUGGGAUCUACUAGGGGUUAGUUUGUUUGAUUGUCAUUCCUAGAUUCACUUAUUUCUUAAUUUGUUACUUCAUUCUUAAUAAGUAAAUAUGUCACGAAUUGAAUAACUUAAAAGGUAAUCGAAGAGUGGAACAAAAAUAUUACUGUAAAAGAAAAAACGAGAGUGCAAAAAUCACUCAAAAUGAAUUAAGCAGGGCUUAUUUUUUCUUGUUAUGCACCCUAUAACACAAUAUCUCACAUUCCCUUUAAACUUAUAUUUUGUCGCUUAACGUCAUAAAAAAACAAUAUUCGCUUCACUUUGAUUAGUUCUGUUUAAUUCAUUGGGAUGGUUUAAUGGGGCCUGCUUCAGAGUUCAGAUUGUUUUGGUUAGCUAUCUAAAUAAAUGGAUAAUUUCGAUGUUGUAAUGAAGUUGUCCCACAAACAGUCAAAUUUUCAAAAGCUCCAAGCAUUUUUUUUUACCAUGUUCUUCCUCUGCAGCAAAACAAAGCAAUUUGAGCCCAGAAAAUACGAAGAGAGAUCUAGAGAGAGACAGAAGAAGGUGUUGUUUUCGGCGGGAGGCCAAGCGUUUUUUUUAACCAUGUUCUUUCAUUUUCGUAUAGUAUGUCAUACAUUUUUGUGAUUAUAUCAGUAUAAGGAUUGAAAACUGCGUUAAAUCAAUAUCCAAUUAGUUUGUGAGUAUCAUUUGACAAACAUAAAGACAAUAUUUGAAGUCCUUUAAAGAACAAGGCAUAAAAAAAAAAACGUAAAAUGAAUUUUAACCCUAUUCACGUUAUAGUAACUUGAUUAAGACACUCAACUCACUUGUGUGCAAGUGUGAGCCAACAUAAUUUUGGCACUCCGGGUGGAAUUUUUUGCGAAUUGCAGAGGAAGUGGGAGCCAGAUUUUUCUAAUUUAUUGCAUGAAGUCAAGGAGGAAUGGACUCCGACAAGAACUGGAGGCAUACAGAAAUGGGUCAUUAAAACAUGAGAAUUAUACAAGCCCGACAGAGUGCUACCCAUCCCUUUGAAUUUGGACCGCACCUAAACACGCCCACUUUGUUGUGUACCCAUCGCACCAUACUAGACUACAUAAAAUCAGUCAAUAUGGUGGUGGCGCAGGGCGGCUGCCGCGGUGGAACAGAAAGAACUAGCCAUCUCAACUCAAAGCACACGCACUAUAAUUCAAACACGAGAGUCAUCGAAACAACAAAAUUUAGCCAGUGUAUCAAAAAUUGAAAGGGGUAAAAAAAAAAAAAAAAAUCAAGGGAAGCUACUAAUGUCUCCUCAAUGCCUACAGCGCCAGCCUACCAUGAAACUCAAGAGUUCCUAAAUUCAAAUUCCAGCGAAAGCCUUCUUGCCAGUGCCGGAAGAUCCAGCAGGAGUCACCUUCAACACGUUGAACCUCUUAGUCUCGGACAGUGGCCCGAACAUUGGUAAGGCACCCAAAAAAAAAUGAACAAAAUGAGCACUAGCGCUUGCCAAAUUACAUACAUAAACAUGUAGUUAAGAACGAGCUAAGGUAAAUCACCUGCACCGGCCGAUGGUAGCAUGAUCUCCUUCCUUCACACCGAAGCAUGGAGGUACGUGUGCCGGGAUGUUGGAAUGUCUCUUUUCAUAUCUUAAGAAAACGGCAAGAAAGAAAAAGAUUUCAGAACAACAGCAAAGAGGAUGGUACUUGUUAAUUCUCCAAAAUGACAACAGAUACAAUAGAAAAUGUAAAAAAUUAAUGCGAACGUUAUACCUUUGAUAUUUCUUGACAUAAUGUAGAUAAUUCCUUCGAACGAUGAUUGUUUUAUUCAUCUUAGCACCAUGGCAAGUGCCAGCCAGGAUGCGGCCCCCAUAGAAACAUUUCCAGUGAAAGGGCAUUUCUUAUCAAUGUAAGUCCCUGUAAGAUGCAAAAGGCACAUGUAGCCAUCGUAUCAAUCAGCAAAUACAAUACUGCACGUACCCAAUACUGAGACAAGAAAUAAACAGUACAACUCGGCUCAAUUUGGAGUAGAUUUACGAACCGAACAUUGGAAAUCCCAAAAAACAUAAGCAUUUCAAGUGAUUGAUUUGAAAUUCGAGUUAUUUCACAGACUAACACUCAUAUAUUACGCCUCUCAUCGGUCCAGAUUGCUAAUGGUUCUCGUUAUCUCCGUUAGGCAAGUGUUAUCUUGAUCCAGCCAUCGGAUUGUGUUUAGGGAAACUGAGGGGUUCAGAUUAGAAGUAGAUCAAGAGACAAAAUUAACCAUGAAAAUGAUGGUGUGUUCAAUUCAAUUCCCUAUAAUCCCAUCCAUUCAAUUAUGUUCAACGGCUCAGAUUUAGUAACUUUUGUCCCUGAUCAAUUGAGCGGCUGCGAUCUUCGUGGAUUUUUUUUUUUCGAGAGACUAACAGAAUCUUGAUCAACAUGGCAAACCACCAUAUAUACUAUAUUUUCUUCUAUUCCUAUUAAAUUCCUCAUUAUUACUCUAUCUCAUCUCAUCUAUUCAAGAGCAACGAUUGAGACCAAAGAGGAGAGAAGCUUCACUGAUAAGGUAAUAAUCAAGUGGUACGAACAGGAACGGAGCUAUAAAUUUUUUCUAAUGGGGGCAAUAAAAAAUAACUAAGAAAAUCUUAUUAUAGUAUGGUUAUAUACAAUAUGAUAUUAAAGAUGAUUUCAAAUGAUGAUGUAUCAUAAUUCCAAUGUUACAAAAUUUCAAUAUAGUAGUGGAAAGUGACAAAGUGAUGAGAAAAAUAUAAGUACAUGAUAGGCAUGAGAGGGUUUUUUUUUCGGUUUGAAUGACAGAACAAGAGCACUAUUGCUCAUAUAAUAUUUGAUAUGGAGUAUAAGUAGAAUGAAUGUAUGUUGGAUAUUAGAUAAAUAUAUUUUCUUCAAAAAUAACCCGUGUAUAUUAUAUAAUUAUAAUCUGCAACUAAACAAACAAAUUACUUUAGUGGGGGCAUCUACCCCCAGUGAGCCUUCAUUGGCUCCGUUCAUGGGUACGAAGAUCCAAAAGUCCUCCAGAUGGUGAAGAAGAGGUUAGUUUGGCCAUCCGUUGAAAGAAAAACAAAGCCGGAUUUUCUAAUAUGCUCCGGUGCAAAGUUUCCAGUGUAUAAGAUACACUAGAUCUUACGAUGCAUGGACACGGACACAGACAUAGGGAUACGUCAAAUUUUUAAAAGACACGAUACGUAAUGGAUACGGAAAUUUAUAUAAUAUAUAUUUAAAAAUACAUUUUAAAUAACAAUAAAAAAAUUAAUUACUCAAAUUUAAUUUGUAUUAUUCAUACUCUCAAAAAGAAAGGAUGGUAGUGGUGUAAAUGUGGGCUAUGUAGUUUUGGGCUUUAGUCUCAUUUAAACCCUAAAAAUGUAAAUAAAUAAAAAAAAAGAAAAAAAAGAAACUGUGGUGUCGUUUUUCUCUACAGAAACAAACAAAUGGCAUGUCGACUUAUAACAAUCAUCUUCUUCGCGAAGCCUCCUCCACUAGAUCGGGUCGUCUUCGUGCGACGCUUUCCUUUGCCAAAUCGCAUUAUCUUCUUCGCGAGGCCUUUUCCCACCAAAUUGGGUCAUCUCCGUCAUGAGGUUUUCUUCCACGAAAUUGCGUCCAAGGCCAUGGUGCAGAUAUCUGUAUCCUAAUAGUCGGAUAACCGUAUCCAUCUGUCAAACGCCGUAUCUGUUGAUUCAAAUACGUAUCCAACACAUAUUCGACCAUAUCAAAUGCGUAUCGUGUCCAUUUGCGUAUCCGACAUGCGAUAUGCGACCGAUGUGCAGUAUAUGUGCAUCGUAGACUAGAUCAUACUAGAAUUUUCAAAAACAGGACAUGCAAAACAUCAUCAGAUAUCCAAUUCAAAUUUAUUUUAAAAAAUAAAACAAUUCGAUCGAGUUGUAAGUUUUCCUUUUUUUUUUUGUGCCUAGGGUUUCAACAGCGAUAGCGAUGAUGGAGAUCGAUAGCAUGAAGGACGUCACUGCUGGUCAGAAGAAAGUCAAGUGGUUCGAGAAUCCAGAGAUCCUCCAAAUACUGAAGACGAUGUUUGAUCCUUGGCUGAACGAAGAUGGCAUGCCUGACGCCACCUCUUUCUUCAGUCGUUGCCCUAGAGGCUUUGGUAACAUUUUUUUCUCUUGUUAAUAUAUACAACACCAACAACCGAGAGUCUUAUCACAAUAAGAGCUGUUCCGUUUUGCGCCAUGUCUUCCGGUAGCUUCUUGUUAAGUGAAGUCCACACACUUCCCCUCUUUCUCCUCUCAGCCAUGGUUUCCUAUACCUUGCUCCACUCCUCGUACGGCUCCGGCGUCUGGUCCAAGAAGGAGUGGGUCAUCCCUGAGAUCGACGACGACGACACCGUUUUGACGUUCAAGGGGAACUCCAACUUCUUCUGGGCGGACCGCGAGCGGCAAGCUCGUGAGGCGGUAGAGAAUUCGAAGUCGGAUUUGCAGAUUGGUGAGUCUGCAAGUCCACAAUGUAAAGCUGCACUUCAAGAAACUACUCGUAUCAUUGAACAAAGUCUUACAACUAAUGGAAAAGCAAUAAGGGCGUUGUUUGGUGCAAGCCAGGUUGGAAUUUCACACUUUGCACCCACCAUUUGUAAAUCAUGAGUCCAGUUCCAACCGGUGGGAAUUUUUUUUUUUUUUUCACUUGUCACUUGCAUAUUGACCAAGUUUGUGUGCAGCUUGAUAUUGAUGGUGACUUCAUAUAUUUUCUGGCAGAUGCUGCUGUUAUAGCGGUAAAAGUUACUUCUUUCUUAGAUUUGUCACUCCGUUUUCAGUUUAUCAAAUUGUUGAUGUUUAUUUGCUUGACACUAUGCAGUUUUAGUAUGGAAAUCCCGAUAGAGUGAGUUGCAAAGGCGAGGGAUAGAGAUGAAAGAGAGGGAGAGUUAGUGAGAGAGAUGAAGAGUUUUGUUUGAGAGACAGACAAAUUUUUGGACGGUGGAAACGGUCCGGGUUGGGGAUCCAUUUCCUCAACAAUUAGGAUUCGCCCCGCCUCACAACUAAUGUGGACUCGCCCUGUUUCAAAUUUAAAAAAAUUGGACCUGCCCCCUACCCACGGGUCCAUGCCCCAUUAAUUUGUCCACCCCUAGUUGUGAUUGUUGUUUGAUAUCAUAUAUUAUUAUUACAAUGUCCAAGGUGUGGGAAUUGUUAUAACCUUAGGGGAGGUUCUGCCGAAAUUUCGAUAUAAUUUGUAGUGUUUGUUUGACUGUUUUUUAUUUUUUUUCAGCAAAGAAAAAUACCCAGGGACCUUGUCUCCAAUUGAAGAUGGCGAAGGUCACCCAAGUGACCAACGGACGUAUCACGAUCAGAUACGAUGAGUGGCAUUGGGCUGCACCAACGCUGGAGCAGCAUAGCGCAUUGGCCCACAACAUUGGUCACAUUGUUUGGACUUAUUGCCCUAUGCUAUAGAAGUCUUGGAAGGCGAUGCCAGGCUAGGUAAGGACAAAUGUGCGCACUUAUUUGUCGAUAAGUAUCCUGCCUUUAUUGCUUUUUCUUGAAAUUAUAUAUUUAUAUUACUUAAUGUAUGUAAUUAAUUUGUUGCAUUGCAAUUGAAUUACAAUUUCGACAACAUCAAAGACAAUAUGUUGUCGUACGUCAACAAGCUCUUCGUUGAACGGUACAAGUGGAAGAGAGGCAUGCACCAAUAUUUUCAAACAUUUGAUGAUCUGCAGGUCGCUCUUAAGGAGGGUUGCCCGAAGGAGUUUGAGGAUUCGGAAAAAAUUGGGUGUGGCUCUGCAGUCAUUUUCAAGUGCCCAGCUAUGUGGUACGUUUUUUAUAUUAAGUCUGUUUGUACCAUACUUGACCAAUCUCGAAACUAUUGAGCACCGGUCAACGUUAUACCGUCAAAGACCCAUAAAAGUUUCCCUCUAACCAGGAGGCCAAUCACAGUGCGACACGUGUCGACAUCAGAAGUCAAUCAUAGCGCGACACGUGUCAACAUCAGAAGCCAAUCACAACACGACACGUGUCAAUGUCAGAAUGAAACUAGAAACUCUCUUCUAUAAAUAGAGAUCAUUCUCUCACAAUAUUCCUUAAUGUCAUUUGUACUAAAUCAUUCACUAGUACUCGCAAAAGGAGAGCUUGAACCUAUGUACUUGUGUAAACCCUUCACAAUUAAUGAGAACUCCUCUACUCCAUGGACGUAGCCAAUUUGGGUGAACCACGCACAUCUUGUGUUUGCUUCCCUGUCUCUAUCCAUUUACAUACUUAUCCACACUAGUGACCGGAGCAAUCUAGCGAAGGUCACAAACUUAACAUUUUCUGUUGUAUCAAAGUCCUUACUGAUUUUGUGCAUCAACAUUUGGCGCCGUCUGUGGGAACGACACUUAUUCCCACUAUUUUCAGCUUUGUUAAGGUGGUUUCCACCAUUCGUACACUCUUUUUUAACCAGGCAUCCCUCUCCAACAUGGGGAGCGAAGGAAGCCACAACACGCAGAAUGACACCCUUCUUGCACUUGGUGUGAGGCAACGAAAGAAGGAAGAAAAUAGGGUUGCUCUUUAAGCUAAAGUCGAUGAGCUAGAAGCUCAGAACAACAAGAUAACAAUGAAGAAUGAGGUCCUCUAGGAGCAGUAUGAGAAACUCUUUGAGACGCUCCACGAAACUAGGCGUACUCAAACACGCGAGCUCGUUACCCCUGUGGACAUCAACCAUCAUCUAGGUGCCCCCCAACACGGAGGGUCACCUUCAUUCGACAUAGGUAUCCCUGAUGAGGAGUGAGCUAAUCAUCAGAACAUUGAUCAACAUGAGACUUCUCUUAACCCAACUGCUUCGACCCGAAGCAGGAGAAGUGGAUGAAGACACCUCCUUACAGAAGGAGUGGAAGGAUCGAAAGCCGUCUUUCGCGACUGUCGAGAUUUCCUAAAGCAACGUCGAGACAAUCUCAUCCAUGUAAGCUCGAAGAUCAAUGACCCAAGGGUUUCUGAAAGACUCGGUCCCAUUCCAUGUCCCAGGCCGGCUACCAAUUUGGGGAAGGGGCAACAAGUCCUAGAGAAACACAAAGGUAUAGGGGACUCAGAGAUAUUCCGACAGACAUACCUUGGAAGUCAGUACGGCAAGUCCAGGGAAAAAUCACAUGCUCUUGAUCAAACCUUCAUACUUCUAAGAGGAGAUGAAGAUUUACGAAAGAAAGCUCCAGUGGUACAUGACUCCACUCAGGACCCUCUUGUCCUACAACUUCUUAAGGAAGUAAACAAUUUGAAAGCCGAACGACAAGCUGAGAUACCUGAUUGGAACCAACCUAGGCCUGACCCUCUUACAAGGAGGACCCUCGACACCCCCAUCCAAGCAAAGACAAAGCAGAAGCUUGCAACUCUAUACUGGAAAGGAGGACCCGAUUUAACACCUUAACUUUUUUGAGUUCACCAUGGCAUACCGGAUGCACAUCGAUGAAGAGCGAUGUCUUCUCUUCCCCUCUAUCCUCUUUGGUGGAGCUCUAAACUGGUAUUGCCGUCUUCUACCUGAGACGGUAAACUCAUUUGAGGAAUUAAGGAAACUGUUUGUUUCUCAACACAUUUUCCAAAUCGAUCGCUUGCACUCUGCGGAUGACUUAUACCCUAUUCGCCAGAAGCCAAACGAGUCAUUACGUAUGUAUGCUGGCCACUUCAGCCAUGAGUAUUCCCGUUGUGCCGAGGCAGACGACAAGACUGCCCUCAAAGCCUUUACGGCAAGCUUACGUGACUGUUUCUUUAAGUACAUGAUCAAUGCCAACACUUGGAAGACUUACUCUGAGGUGAUGGCCCAUGCUUAUAACCAUGCCUCCGUCGAGGCAAUGACAUAUCAAGGGAAACCCCCCACAGCCACCCCUUAUCAGCAAGUAGGGAGUGGAAGCCAGAUCCAACCAAAUGAGAAGACCUCAACCUUCCAAACGGCAGCGGUGCCUCCUCCUACCUUACUUAAUACUUCACCAAGUCAACAGACAUAUCAAUCUCAGGGUAAAAUGAAAGAUUUACAUCCUCACCAGUCUCAUUUUAGUAAAAGGAGUAAAGGACACUAUCGCGAUAACCAAGGGUAUCGCCAAGAUAAUGCCCGCCCCCAGGCAGUCAACACAGUGGGCCAAGCACGUGUCAGGACAGGCCUACCCCGAGGUAUGAGACAUACACACAUUUGAAUGCCACAUGUGUGGCCAUUUACCCCAGCAUAGCACACCUGAUACCGAAGCCAAUGCCAAGGCAGUCGGGUUACAAGCCCACGAAGAACACGGGCACAUUUUCCUGCUACCACGAGCAUAACGGCCAUGACGGUGAGAAAUGUAUCACCCUUUGUGAUCAUAUUGAAGCUUUGACACGUGAAGGAAAAAUUGAUCAAUUCCUCUUUCACCCUCCAAAGGGUAACCAUAACUAAUGCCAGGUGAAUGUGAUAUAUUCCAUAAGUGGUGGCACACCCAUAUCUAAAUCUUCCAACAGGGCUAUGAAAAAUAGUGAACGAGCUUUAAGGUCUGGCCACCAAGUGUUUCACGUGGAAGACAUCAGGGAAGGUAAAUAUCAAAUGCCUAACUGGGAUCUAAUAUGUUUCUACCCUGAGGAAGAAAGAGGUAUCAUUUACCCUUACAACGACCCACUAAUCGUGGAAGCUCACAUAGCCAACUUUGAAGUACGACAAAUCCUGGUAGACACGGGGGCUUCGGUCAAUAUCAUGUUUGCUGAAGCUUUCAGGGCACUUAAUGUAGCUGAACACUUGCUCAAUCGCUCGAUUUCCCCUCUGAUAAGCUUCUCCGAUGAUAUCGUGCAACCUUUGGGAAGCAUACACUUACCUUUCACCAUUGGUACAGGCCCUUACACAGCUACCAUUACCACUAACUUCCUGGUGGUUGAUUGCCCAACGGCAUACAAUGUCAUCUUGGGACGCACAUGCAUUAAUGAUCUCAAGGCCAUGGUAUCCACACAGUGGCGAAGCCACGUGAGGGCGAGGAGUGGCGUCCGCCACUCCCCUCGCCGGAAAACACAGCCCUAGCGCAGGUUCAGCCCCUCCCCUCCCGGAAAACCCAACCCCUCCAUGGCUGUUCUACCUCCGCCACUGUGGUGCACCACGGACCUGUCCUCGGUUCGAGUUCUUGCUUGGGAGGGUCCUAGGGUGUGCGUGUGUAUAAGAUUGUGGGUAUGGAUGUUGCUCACGGGUAGAGAGGGAGAGGGUGAGGGCGACUUGAGGGAGAGAGAGCUCGGGGAGUUUCGAAGAGCAGAAGAGGGAGUGAGGGGAGAAAGGAAGAGAGAUGAGAGAGGGAGUACGGGAGAAAGGGACAGAUAUCAGGGGUGAGCCCUUGGGCUCACCAAUUAAGACCCCAAAACUAUUUUUAAUUAGGAGUGGGGUGUGACAUCACGUAUAGGCUUGUUUGUAUUAAUACAUUAUGAACGACAACAGUUGUAACUUGUUUGUAUUAAUAUAUUACGAACGACACUUAAACUUUUUACUAUAUAAAAGGAUUUUGUUGUUUACAUAUUUUUUGGAAUUUUGUACGCUUUUAAAUUUCGCCCCUCCCCUUGAAAAUUUCUAGCUUCGCCACUGUAUCCACACAUAUGUUGUUGAUGAAAUUUCCAACCCCUUAUGGCAAUGGUUACAUUAGAGGAGAUCAACUUAGUGCACGAUCAUAUUACAACACUUCGGUCAAGCAACAACACCUGCUUGUGCCCAAGGAAACCCUUUCUAUACAUGACCAAGUCAUAAAGACCAGCCUAGAAGAAGCCAACUUGGAUCUUCACGGUGGCAACAGUUAACCCGACAAUCCUCGAGAUGACUAUUUCACCCAGCAAGCACAACCCGCUGAAGAGUUUUAGAAGGUCUCUAUCUCAAAAGAUUAUCCAGAUCGCAUGGUGAAGAUUGGCACCACCUUGUCACCACCCAUUCGGUUGGCAUUUAUCUCUUUUUUGCAAGAGAACACUGAGGUAUUCGCCUGGUCAUACGAGGACAUGUCAGGCAUCUCUCCCGAUAUCAUUUGUCAUCGCUAAAGUAUUGACCCCAAGACCAAGGCAGUGAGACAGAAGCGAAUAUCUUAUGACGCUGAACGGUACAAGGCAAUGAAGGCAUAAGUUGAAAAACUCAAAGGCAUAGGCUUCAUCCGCGAAGUCAAUUAUCCAACGUGGGUAGCAAAUGUUGUCCUUGUUAAGAAGAAUCCGACCAAGGAAAGUCUCCUGCUCCAAAAGGUCUUGUGGAGAAUGUGUGUCGAUUACACCGACCUAAACAAAGGAUGCCUGAAGGAUAACUUUCCUCUUCCUCUAAUAGACAGACUUAUAGACUCUACGACAGGGUGUGAACUUCUGAGCUUCAUGGAUACUUACUCAGGAUACAACCAAAUCCUCAUGAACCCUCCGGACCAAGAACACAUAGCCUUCACUACUGACAGGGGACUUUAUUGUUAUAAAGUCAUGCCCUUCGGCCUAAAGAAUGCAGAAGCAACUUAUCAGAGAUUGGUCAAUUCAAUGUUCGCCGAACAGAUUAGGAAGAGCAUGGAAGUUUACGUUGAUGAUAUGCUAGUCAAGAGUAAACAUGCUGACCAACACAUCACCAACCUAUCUGAAACUUUCACCAUUCUGAAGAGGCAUCGAAUGAGGUUGAACCCCAAUAAAUGUGCCUUCGGCGUAGGCUCUGGCAAAUUCUUAGGCUUCAUGAUAAGCCAACGAGGCAUUGAGGCUAAUCCCAAGAAGAUCAAAGCAAUCCUCGACAUGAAGGAACCGGUAACUUCAAAAGACAUCCAAAUCCUUAUUGGCAAUGUGGCAGCCUUAACUAGGUUCAUCUCUAAGGCCACAGAUAGAUGUGUUCCUUUCUUCAAAUCACUUAAAUGAAGUAAGAAGUAAAUUACAUAGAUUGAUGAAUGUGCUGAGGCAUUCAAGAACCUCAAAGACUACAUGAGUAAAACCCAUCUACUCUCUAAACCUGAGGUUGGUGACACUUUCAUUAUCUAUCUGUCGGUAUCGACUUCAGCAGUAAGUUAUGUUCUCAUUCAAAAUGAUGGUAAUGUUGAACGAUCUGUCUACUACGCCAGCAAUGCCUUACAAGAUGCAGAGACACGAUACUCCAACAUUGAGAAAUUGGCUCUAGCAUUGGUCAUGUCUGCUCGAAAACUUUGCCAUUACUUCCAAGCACACUCCAUCAUCGUGCUUACCAAUCAUCAUCUUCGAUAGAUACUUCAAAAUCCUGACACUUCUGGGCAAAUGAUCAAAUGGGCGAUAGCAUUGGGUGAGUUUGACAUCUCCUACCAACCAAAGCCAGCUGAGAAGGGCCAAGCAGUGGCAGACUUCAUCGCUGACUUCACAUAUCCUAUUGACAUUGUUUCUACACCUAAAUAAGUGGUUUCAUUACCCUCGAAAGCUCAGAAAAUAUAACCAACAGCCCCAGCAUGGAGUCUAUAUGUUGAUGGCUCGUCCAACCAAUAGGGUUGUGGAACAGGACUAGUCCUUAUGACCUCUGACAAAGUGGCGAUGGAGUAUGCUCUUCGUUUCAAAUUCAAGGCGUCGAACAAUGAGGCCGAAUAUGAAGCCCUCCUAGCAGGCUUACGUUUGGCCAAACACCUUGGGGUUAAACGAAUUGAUAUCUUCAGUGACUCCCAAUUGGUGGUUAACCAGGUCACCAAUAACUUUAACGCUAAGGAUAGCUCAAUGGCAGCAUAUCUGGCACAAACACAAUUGUUGCUGAAACACUUCCACUACUAGAUCACCCAAAUUCCUCGAGCGGCAAACAGUCAUGCAGAUGCUUUGGCUCGCCUCGCCUCAGCGGUGGAAGACAAGAUUGGGAGAAAAAUUUAGGUCGAAUUGUUGGCAAUACCAAGCACCAUGGUUGCGGAAGUGUGUAACUUACAACAUGGGGAUAGUUGGAUUACCCCGAUUUAGGUCGUAUUUGUAUACCCUGCACUGAAGCUUUAUAGGUGAAGCUUUGAAGCUAGAGCUCCGUAAAUGAAGUUUUUGAAGCUGAUUGACAUGAGUGAUGCUCAUGAAUGUUUAUGUUGAUUGACAUGAGUGAUGCUCAUGAAUGUUGUCAUGAGUGAUGCUCAUGAAUGUUAACAUGAGUGAUGCUCAUGAAUGUUGACAUGAAUGAUGGUCAUGAAUGUUUAUGUAUGAUUGUCAUGAGUGAUGGUCAUGAAUGUUUAUGUAUGAUUGUCAUGAGUGAUGGUCAUGAAUGUUUAUGUAUGAAUGACAUGAGUAAUGCUCAUGUAUAAUUUGGAGUACUGGGCGUACUUUUGAUCACCUAGUUGGUGGCAUGAAGAAGAGUACGGGUUGUACAUUUCAUCACCUGGUUGGUGGCAUGAAUGGCUAGUUGCCAAAUGAUAUUAGAGUACGGGUUGUACAUUUUAUCACCUGGUUGGUGGCAUGAAUGGCUAGUUGCCAAAUGGUAUUAGAGUACGAGUUGUACAUUUCAUCACCUGGUUGGUGGUAAUAGCGGCAGGUUGCCGAAUAAUUUUUGGAGUACUGGGUGUACUUUUGAUCACCUGGUUGGUGGUAAUAGCGGCAGGUUGCCGAAUAAUUUUGGAGUACUGGGCGUACUUUUGAUCGCCUAAUUGAAGCUAUUUUGGGCUUAUGGGCCUUCGCCCUCUACACAACAUUCCGGCCCAUUUAUUUUGGGCUUUGCCGUAUUUUUUUUUACCUUCUGAUGGGGUUUAUACAGAUGUCUCCGAAAGAUAGGAAAAAUAAAUUACAUUAUACAAAAACAAAAAAAGCAAAUCACAUCAUUCCGGUGGGGUGUUUAUUCUUUGCUUUUGCUUUUGCUUUCUCUUUUGUUUUCUGUUUUCUUUUCUGCUUUGCUUUUGUUUCUGUUUCCCACUGCUUUGGAUAUGUCGCUUGAUGACGUGAUUAAGGGCAAUAAUCCUUUCUCUUUACUUUCCUUUCUUUUGGCGGAUGGUAGACAAGAGGAAUAAUAGUAGGAUUGUUAUUGAGAAAACUUAUCUUCUUCCUAUUUUCCACUAAUGCUCGUGGUAUUCGCAGGAGGUGGGAUCUCUGUGUCAGCACCAACUUGUUCUGUUAUAGUUGUAAAUGUGCCUUCCUUUUCCUGCCUGUACAAUCUGCACCAUAUCCGAGACGUUCUCCACAGUUGAGAAAUCUGAGGGUGGAGAACCGAUGGCCGCGAUGGCAUCCACUACGGCAGUCGUCUGAUCGAGAAGCUUCUGGCUUCCUCCUUGGACCGGCCAAAUGACUGGGAGGGAUGUGUUUUCCACUGAGCAGAUCCAAAAGGACAGUCCUAAAGCUGAAUGUAACAGUUUUUGGAGUCACCCUUCCAUUUCUUAGAUAUUCAGAGGUGUGUAUGCAAGAUUGGUGCUGUAAGUUUUUCCAUCCUUGCUGUUGUUCAUCAAUCCAAAACACGAAGGCUGAGGAUCGUCAUUCUCAUCUGCCACAUUUGAAAAAGCUCUAUGUAAUCCCAUCCACACUGGGAUUGUUGCAAGUGUCGGCAAACAUCAUGCCAAACGGUUUAUGUCGACUAACUUCUACAAUCAAGCAGUUUCGAGUUGAAUUCUCUCCUGGUCCCCCACGUAGCGUUCUUGCACAGUUUUCACUUGGGGUUGCAAGGACCGCAUAGCCAUGGCGGACUCCACCUGUUUCUUGCUCAACGGGAAGGUAGCAUUUUUAACAAGAACGGUCAACAAUAUGAUGGCGAAGCCAUAGGAGUACGGAACAUGCACAGCAGAAAACCCAUCUUUCAAAAACUUGAGAAUGCUCUCGAGGUAACUGGUAAUCCCAGAAAGCCAAUCGCUGCUCUGUUUCGAAGUAGUCAAAUUCUCCAACGUUGACAACACAGCCGCUUCGGCCAUCGUGUAAAGCAAGCUCUCGGCUUUACCGAACAACUUCAUCAGCAAAGCUCUUACGUAUUCUGGUUCGGGAAUCAGACCGGGGCUGGGGUUAAGCCGGGCCACUAUGAGCAAGCCGUGGAGGAGGGACUUUGAGUGGGGGAAACCGUAGUUGUGAUUGGGAUUUUGAAAGUUUGGAAACCCUAAAAGGUUGAGCUGCUGCUGCAAAGAGGAGGGGAGUGUGGGCGAUUCAUGCGAAUGGGGGAUGAAUCGGAAAAAUGUUUAUGUACAAAACCUGAGAGAGAGUCGGGCGUCUCUGGGUUUUACAGAUCCACGGUGAAGUGUGGUGAGGUCUCACGGUGGAGAGAUGAAAAAAUGAAAGAGAACCGACAUAGAUUUUCGUGUCGUUUCCCACAGACGACGCCAAAUGUUGAUGCACAAAAUCGAAGGUCUUGAAACAACAUAAAUUCGACCGUGAAUCUGCAUGAAAUGUAAAUAACACAAGAUGUAUCGUGGUUCACCCCAAGGUUUGGGCUACGUCUACACUAAUUAUAUUUCUGAGAGAGAGAGAGCUCUGAGAGUGAGAGCUUUGAGAGGACGUGAGAGAGCUUAGGAAUUGGCUUCCUCUAAUUGUGAGGGUGAUGAGUCAUUUUAUAGAAUAAGGGCUCCUCACUUAUUACAUAUUUGCCCAUUCCUUUAUUACAUAAUUACAUUUAAGUCUCCCGAGUAUUUGUACGAGAUCUAAAUACGGAUGUCCUAAAUAUGGUAUAAACAAGCUUCAUCAAAGGAGUUCAACCACAAUUCUCAAAAGCUUCACACACUCUUGAUCAAGACAGUGUGAAGCAAAACCAAUUUAUGAUGCCAACAAGAGCUUCAUCAAUGGUGGGCAACCAGCUUCUCAAAAAGCUUCACACACUCUUGAUCAAGAUAAUGUGAAACAAAACCAAUUUAUUGUGCCAACAAGAGCUUCAUCAAUGGAGGGCAACCACAAUUCUAAAAAAGCUUCACACACUCUUGAUCAAGACAGUGUGAAGCAAAACCAAUUUAUGGUGCCAACACGAGCUUCAUCAAUGGAGGGUAACCACAAUUCUCAAAAAGCUUCACACACUCUUGAUCAAGACAGUGUGAAGUAAAACCAAUUUAUGGUGCCAACAAGAGCUUCAUCAAUGGAGGGUAACCACAAUUCUCAAAAACUUUACACACUCUUGAUCAAGACAGUGUGAAGCAAAACCAAUUUAUGGUGUCAACAAGAGCUUCAUCAAUGGAGGGCAACCACAAUUCUCAAAAGCUUCACAUGUUCUUGAUCAAGACAGUGUGAAGCAAAACUAAUUUAUGGUGCCAACAAGAGCUUCAUCAAAUGAGGGCAACCACAAUUCUCAAAAGCUUCACACACUCUUGAUCAAGACAGUAUGAAGCAAAACCAAUUUAUGGUGCCAACAAGAGCUUCAUCAAUAGAGGGCAACCACAAUUCUCAAAAGCUUCACACACUCUUGAUCAAGACAGUGUGAAGCAAAACCAAUUUAUGGUGCCAACAAAAGCCUCAUCAAAGGAGUUCAACCACAAUUCUCAAAAGCUUCACACAGUCUUGAUCAAGACAGUGUGAAGCAAAACCAAUUUAUGGUGCCAACAAAAGUUUCAUCAAUGAAGGGCAAUUACAACUCGUAGAAAGCUUCACACACUCUUGAUCAAGACUGUUCGAAGCAUAUUUAAUUUAUAUGGUUCAUCCAAACCUUCGACUACUACAAAGUGUGGCUUGCAUCACAAUCUCUUGCUCAACAAUGUGGAAGCAAAAUUUGUAUAUGUUGUCUCUCCCACAUUUUCAAAUUUCUAAUUUUCCAAAAAAAAAAAGGGAAAUUGGGAAAUUCAACAAAUUUCCAGUUUUCCCCAAAAAAAAAAAAAGAAAGGAAAUUGGGAAAUUCAACAAAGCUUCACCACAAAAACUUCACUAACAAAAGCUUCAUCAAUGGAGGACAACUACAAAUUCUCAAAAGCUUUACACUAUCUUGAUCAAGAUAGUGUGAAGCAAAAUCAAUUCAUGGUACUCAACAAAAGCUUCAACUCCAAAGCUUUACCUACAAAGCUUCAACUCCAUAGCUUCACUUACAAAAGCUUCACCCAUAAAAGCUUCACCCACCACAAAAGCUUCACCUACAAAAGCUUCACCCAUAAAAGCUUCACCAACAAAAGGUUCACCCACAAAAGCUUCUCCCACCACAAAAGCUUCCCCCACAAAAGCUUCCCCCACCACAAAAGCUUCACCCACAAAAGCUUCACCCAUAAAAGUUUCACCAACAAAAGCUUCACCCACCAUAAAAGCUUCACCCACAAAAUCUUCACCUACAAAAGCUUCACCUACAAAGCUUCAACACAAAAGCUUCAUAUACAAAAGUUUCACACUAUCUUGAUCAAGGUAGUGUGAAGCAAAAUCAAUUCAUGGUACCCAACAAAGCUUCAACCUCAAAGCUUCACCUAUAAAGCUUAAAAUAUAUAUAUAUAUUUUUUUUUUUGGAAAUUCGAAAUUUUUAAAAUUCAAAAAUUCAAAAAUUCAAAAAUUCAAAAAUUCAAAAAUUAAAAAAAAAAUUGCCUAGGCCUCUUCUUCUUUAGGCAUAACAAUUUUAAAACAAAUAUAUAUGAAGGAGGAGUUUUGGGCUACCACUUAGAAAGAAAAAUGGUGAAAUUUUGUUACUUUGGAAACUUGGCUACUAGCAAGACACCUCAUUCGUCAACUCUCUCGACCGAAAACUUGGGGGAUUCCUACCAUAUGCUACUGCACCUUGAUACUCGGAAGACUCACGACCACUCAGUGACUUGGAUUUUUUCAAGUCUCCAACCGAGAAGUUUUCCUCACUCGGGAAAUUAAGGGAGCACUACCUCAACCUACAUGUUUCACUCACAAAGCUUCAACAUACAAGCUUUAACAAAAGGAAAAAUUCAAAGAACUUAAUGAAGAAGGCCUCUUGGUGUAUUUAACACAAUACGUUGAAAUGAAGCAAAGCUUGUUUAUUGAUAUCUCCGAUAAGUUACAAACAUGUACAUAUACAUGAAUCAAAACAAACAAACAAGAGGGAGCCUUUACAAAGGUUGCUCAGGAGAAAUCUCAGCAGUCGGCAGAUCCCCAGAAAAAAGAGGCACCAGAAGGUGAUUAUUCGGAGCCUCAGUACUAGGCAGAACCCCAGAAAGAGGAGGCACCGAAGGUUGAUCAUUUGGAGCUUCAUUACGCAGUACAGCCCCAGAAGAUGAAGGCAAUAAAUACAUUUGGAACAAACCCACAAACCUCUGAUGAUCAAGUAAAAUCUGACCAUCAGAUUCCUGUAGCUGGUCGAGCUUCAUCUUCAUGUUUGUAGCAUAGUCAUGUGCGAGCCUAUGCAACUGUUUAUUCCCAUGUUGAGCCAUCUGAUCUCCUGUUUGAGACUUAUCACUUCAGCCGCCAAUGAUUCAACUUGGCGUGUUCGAGAAAAUAGGCGUUAGGCCAUAUUAGACACAGAACUUGCACACUGAAUACUGAGAGCCAAAGAAUCCUUAACAGCCAACUCAUCCGACCGUUUGGAAAGUAGUCUGUUAUCUUUGGGAGUGAGAAGGUUCUUGGCCACCACCGCAGCGGUCAUAUCAUUAUUCAUCACAGAGUCCCCAACGGUAAGAUGACUAAUAGGGGAUAAGAAGGAUGGGCACCAUAUGUUGUCUUGAGAAGGCAUGGCUGCCUUUUCACCAAAGUUCAAGUCAAAACGACGGUCGGAUGAGCCAAACAUUCUCAGAAAUGAUGAAGGAGAAAUGAGGUGCAAUAAAUCUCUGAAGUAACGGGAAAAUUCUUACAAGCAAUAACUCUCUGAAUGUACUUCUUGCACACAAUUGGUGCCCUUAUAAAACAAAGGGCAACAUGGCCGUUGGUUCAAAAAUCGAAGAGGCACCACUUUCCGGAUUCCGAAGAGGCACCAAUCCACACGCAACAUCAGCUUCUCGGGUACCACAUAUAACUUUGCCAAAGAUCUCUGACAAAGUUUAGACACAUAAUUUUUGAAGGUCCAGCUACCCUACUAUUACCCAUAAAGGUAAAGGAAUAGCACCACUGCUUGAUAACUAGAAAGUUCUUAUGUAUGUCAACCUCUGUGCUCCAUGGCAAGGCAGACUGGCAAAAAUGCCCAACCUUUACUCACAUCGAGAAAACACUCCCAACAAGAUUGCUUGCUCAAAAAUCGAAGAGGCACCGCUAUCUGAAUCUCGAGAGCUAGACUCCCAAUAGGAUUACGUGCUCAAAAAUUGAAGAGGCACCGCCUUCCGAAUCUCGAGAGCCAGACUCCCAACAUGAUUACUUUCUCAAAAAUCGAAUAAACACUGCUCUCUGAAUCUCAAGAGUCAGACUCCCAACGGGAUUGCUUUCUCAAAAAUCGAAGAAGCACCGUUCUCUAAAUCUCGAGAGCCAGAUCCCCGACAGAAUUGCUUGUUCGAAAACUGAAGAGGCACCGCUCUCCGAACUUCGAGAGCCAGAUUUCCUUGGAUAAAGCUUGUCUGCAAUCUGCACACGCAACAUCAGCUUUCCAGAUACCACAUACCACUUUUUCAAAGUGCUCUGACAAAGUUAAAACACGUGAAGCUUGCAGCUCCCACUAUAUUGCUAUGACCAAGAAGGGUAAAGGAAUAACACUACUACUUGUUGUUAGGGAGACUCCUAUAUAUGUCGACCUCCAUCCUCCACAGCCAGGCGACCUGCAAAUAAAUAAAAAAUGCUCAACUUUUCUUCACAUCCGAGAGAGCACUCUCAGCAGAGUCUUUCGAAAUACUCAGCUUAUUUUCCCCCUGAUAAUACCUCUGCAAACAAGCCACACCAGAGCAAGAGUAUCUCAUAUCAUCAGGGUUAAAAGCAAGAGUAUCCCAUAUCAUGCUUUUUCCUUGUCUUUUCCUUUGGCCUUGUUCUUACCUGCAAGACAAGGAGAAAGAGAGCAAUCAGUCAGCACUUGGAAUCAAGCUUCCAUUCAGGAACUGACUGCCUAGAACCCCUUGCCUGAUUACUUACCUGACAUUGCUCUCGAGUACUCAUCUUCAACAUCUUAUGCUUCCAAAGGAGAUACCACAUCUGCCUGAGGAACAGAUAGGGCAAGUGAGAAAGAUACAAGGAAGCAUGUGGAGACAAGCGUAACAGAACAUGUGCCGAUACAUCCACUACUUUGUCAACAACAAAAGUAUCUCAUAUCAUCAGGGUCAAACGUACUCUAGAUUUGAUGGACUUGUUUUGACCCUCAAAUUCUUGAGUCGGCCUUAUACUUUGGAGGAAACCAGAAAACCCUCAAGCCCAGUUCAAGAAUAAGCCUAUGGAAAGUUACUUCUUCAAAAGCAAAAGUAUAUCAUAUCAUCUCUUCUCCAUUUGCUUCUCAUUAUCUUUGUUGCUGUUUAUGACACAAGGAGAAGGAGAAUAAUCAACCGGAAGCCGAAGUCGAACCUCCGAUCCAGGUUGCUUACUUGGAAGUCUGAUUGCUUACCUUGUCUAUUACCUCCUUCAACAAAUCUCCUAGCUCAGCGACUUGGGGGACUCUUACUAUAGGGUUUGUAUUGCACUUGACCAAGCCUGAAACUACAAGUAAGCUUCAAGUGAAAUUGAUACAUUACCUUGUGCAUCUUCAUCGGUUAAAGAUACCACUCCUGGAUGGAGGAAAAGUACUUCCAAAGAAGAUGCCACAUCUACAUAUGAGACAGAUAAGGCAAGUGAAAAUGAUACCACACUUCGGUACUUAGAAGUUUAGUGAUUACUCAAUGGCUUGGAUCUUACAAGUCCCCAACCAAGGAGCUUCCCUCACUCAGGAACCUAGGGGAACACUGUUUGUACAAUACUUGACCAAUCCCGAAACUACUGAGCACCAGUCAACGUUAUACCGUCAAAGACGCAAAAGAGUUUCCCUCCAACUAAGAGGCCAAUCACAGCGCGACAGGUGUCGACAUCAGAAGCCAAUCAUAGCACGACAUGUGUCAACAUCAGAAGACAAUCACAACACGACACGUGUCAAUGUCAGAAUGAAACUAGAAACUCUCUUCUAUAAAUAGAGAUCAUUCUCUCACAAUAUUCCCUAAUGUCAUUUGUACUAAAUCAUUCACUAGUACUCGCAAAAGGAGAGCUUGAACCUAUGUACUUGUGUAAACCCUUCACAAUUAAUGAGAACUCCUCUACUCCGUGGACGUAGCCAAUCUGGGUGAACCAUGUACAUCUUGUGUUUGCUUUCCUGUCUCUAUCCAUUUACAUACUUAUCCACACUAGUGACCGGAGCAAUCUAACGAAGGUCACAAACUUAACACUUUCUGUUGUACCAAACUCCUCACUGAUUUUGUGCAUCAACAAAGUCUAAAAGUAUUAUAUGUUUCUUACUAAUGUUUAUUGAUUUUUUUAUAUUUCAUUUAAAUUAGAACUAAUAUACAUUUAUUUUUUGUACAAUAGAAGAAGGCGAAAGCCAACAAGAUCAAUCAGGAGAAGAAGACUUUUUUCUACCAUUCGGGUUUGAGGCCCUUCUUAUACAGGAUGGAGGCGCAGCGACAUGUAAUAAUAAAGCUUUUCAUAUUAAAUUUUUAAUAUUUUAGUAAUAUUAAUUUUUCUUUUGUACUAACAUUUUUCUUAUCUUAUUCUAUUCAGACGGGUUCAAAAUUCCCGGAGAUCAAUGUCUUUGCAGAGUUUAUGUUCGACCCAUGGAUGAGUUGGCCAAGCCCCUUCAUGUAAGUAUUUUUCAAUUGUAAUUACUAUCUUACGCAUUCAAGUAUCAUGGUUAUUAUUUGAAUGUUAUUAUUAAUAUUUCAUAUUAUAUUACACAUGCGACGAUGAUGGAGAAGAUGCAGUUGGUUCUUCAGGGGUCCGCCUCCCAGCUUCCUCCUGAGACUCCUCUUAAGUUUGUGGAUCCCCCAAGGAUGUGGGGUUUCAGAUCCUUACAGACACCUUAGAUCAGACUCUUGGGUGGAGGUUAAGGACGUAUUGUAGGGGGAUGCGGAAUGCUUGGCGGUGGGAACUUUGAGCCUUUUCAUCCUCCCAAUCGAAGGAUGAGGUGACAUAUUUGACAACAAAGGUGGCCGACCUUAGGACUGGGUUCGCCUCAUAUAAGAGCCAGAUGUUACUAAUUUUAUAGGCCCUCAGUCAGUUAUACAUUCGUCUCUUAGAUAUUUGUCCCCUUUCGAUGUUAGAUCCCACAUCGCCUAGGGGAAUGGAUCCUCUAUGCCUUAUAUGUAUAUUCUCAUCUCUACCUAGUACGAGGCCUUUUGGGAGCUCAUUGGCUUCGGGUUCCUUAGGAACUCCGAAGUUAAGCGAGUUCGCGAGAAAGCAAUCCUAUAAUGGGUGACCCACUGAGAAGUUCUCGUGUAAGUUCCCAGAAACAAAGCCGUGAGGGUGUGAUCGGGGCCCAAAGCGGACAAUAUCGUACUAUGGUGGAGUUGAGCCCAUGAUGUGGUGGGGGCCCGGGCCGGGAUGUGACAAUUUGGUAUCAGAGCUAAUCCUUGGCCGGAUGUGUGCCGACGAGGACGUUGGGCCCCUAAGGGGAUGGAUUGUUAGAUCCCACAUCGCCCAGGGGAUUAGAUCAUCUAUGCCUUAUAUGUAUAUUCUCAUCUCUACCUAGUACGAGGCUUUUUGGGAGCUCACUGGCUUUGGGUUCCGUAGGAACUCUGAAGUUAAGCGAAUUCGCGCGAGAGCAAUCCUAUGAUGGGUGACCCACUGGGAAGUUCUCGUGUGAGUUCCUAGAAACAAAACAGUGAGGGCAUGGUCGAGGCCCAAAACGGACAAUAUCGUGCUAUGGUGGAGUCGAGCCCGGGAUGUGGUGAGGGCCCGGGCAAGGAUGUGACAGUCGACGUGCUAGCCCCUCCAACCUGAAUAUGCCCAGAACUAUGCCCCUUCAACCUCUGAGCCUGUCCUCAACCCCGACCCCUUCUUGCCCCAAUCUUUUCAUCUGCAUGCGAACGACGACCCUGUAGAUUAUUCCACAUUUUUUUAAGUUGUUUAGUCCCUUACUUUUACAAUUUUUUCCUUGUACAUACAUUUUAUUUUUAUUUUAAAUAAAUUAUUUUUCUUGUCAUACAUUUUUUAUUUUAUUAUAAAAUUAAACCUAGAACAAAAAAUAUAAUUUUUAACAAAAUAUAAUAUAUUUUUUUUUGCGAAUAAUAGCUUCGUUGUGCAUACUUUUUUGCGAUAACUCACUUUCAUCGCACAAAGUUUUUAGACACGAAUAUUAGUUGUCCUAGGUUUGUAUCUUGGCAUUUUGUGCGACGAACAUAUUCGUUCCUAAAAAUUUGGUGCGACGAAUGAGAAACCGUCACGCAUUAUUUUCCACGACCAAUGCUUUUAUUCAUCGCGCAAAGUCUUUCUUCACGAUCUUUGCGGGACCGAUUCUGCGCAACAAAGUUUUCAUCACACAUACGUUUGUGCGACGCUAUUAACCUUUGCACGACCAAUUUUUGUUCAUCGUGCUAAAUGUUAAACGUGGUAGUGAUUGAUUUUUACUUUAAUUUGAGUCUCAACUCAAUUCAAGUUCAACAAACUUUUAACAAAAUAGGGCUGCAAAUUUUAACUAGAAUGAACGAGCCAAGGAGAUCUCAAAACCCUAAAUUACGAGUGGGUGGGAAGAAUAUUUAAGUGCUUGUAAUUGUUGCUCCAUAUGAUUCUACAGUAAGCAAGGCUCCUAUCACAUGUGUGAUUAGUUUACUUUUGCUUUCAAUUUUUUAUUACAACACUAGGCCAAUCUUAUUAUUGGCUAUUUUUUAAUAACAUUCAAACCUUUGGAUAACAGCUAUAACUCUUGGAUAAGUUCCAAGAGACACAACUCUACAUUGCAGAAAGUGCAUUACGUUUAACACUUACAUCAUUGACAUGAUCCUAGUUGAUCUAAGGUUGUUACAUAUAUCCUCCUUAGGUUCCUGAGUAAUCCUCUCUAGUUCCUGCUGAAAUCUCUCCAUGGCCGAGGAUGGCAAACACAUUGGUACCAAUAUUCCAUCCUCAGUGUUGUUUUUGUGUUGAACGUAGAAGCUAAUCAAAUCCAAGGCCUUGGCGGGUCCAGCAAAUACCGGCUGUCCCCAUCCAAAAUUGACAUCUCCAAAACCUGCACGCGUAUUAUCAGAAACUAUUAAAUAACUUCCUGUCGAUGAAUAUUGAGGUCGCCCUCUUAGUACCAUAAGAUCUGCCACUGAUCUUAAGUAUUCUUCAUUCAUGGUAGCUUUAGCCUUCUUCACCAACUCCAAAGCAUAUCCCAGUGGAUUUUUGCAUAGAGGUUCAGCCUUUGAAACUGCAGUUGGAAAUGCAAAUGCAUUGCCAUAGUAUCCCAAGGGAAGACGUACAUUGUGGUGCUUUCCCCGUGCAUUGACAAUGCAUGAAACUCGAACAGCCUGUUUUGGAUUAAUUUUAAGUGCAAGAGUGCGACAUUUCCACAAACAAGCUGUGAUCAAGUCAAAUGUGGAGCAAGUGGAAAUUACGUGGGGUGGAAUAUGUUUUUGAAGGACUCUCAUCUCCUUGGCACCAAAGUAGAAAGAUCGUUGAACCAUGUUUGACUGGUUACUGGAUGCGUAUGAGCCAUUAGAAUGAUCAAUCACGUCUUCAUAUUCAUGAUGAACACAUGUAAUUCUUGGUGGAUCUCGAGCGAACAAGAGCUCUCUCUCCCACACUGGUAGAAUAGAUGGUGCAUGUGCGCCUCUUGCCAUCUCCGCAAUGGCGGUCAGGAACAGGAGCAAUCCAGGUGCAUCACACAUUGUGUGGUUUGCGCGCAAUGCAAGUAUGAAACCUCCGCAUGUAAGACAGGUCACCUGCAUAUUGCAAAAGUUAGUUACUAGACUUCUUUCUUGAUCAUCAUAUUCGUGCUAGUUAACAAUUCUUUAGAAGAAAAGACCAAAAAAAAAAAAAAACACCCAUCUAAAUUAGAUGAUCUAAUUAGGAAACAAAAAUUUCAUAAAAAUUAGGAAUAAAAUUCAAAAAGGAUGGAGUCUCGUGCCUGUUGUAGUUACUUGAAAGAGUCUUUAAAUAUAGAGGAAUUUAGACAAAACGCUUAUAGAAGAGAAAAAUUUAGACAGAAGACAAAGAGGACGACAUGAGGACAUGCAAAAAACCUAGAAGAAGAACGGCAAAGGAAAACCUGUUGAGAGUUGUCCCAUAUUAGUGAGGAACAAGGUUUGCUAUGUGCUUAUAUGAUCUUGGGCUACUCCCUAUAUUGCCAAUUGGUUUAUGGUGGAACCUUAAUUUCAUCAUGGUAUCAGAGCAAGGUUGUCCACGUGUGAAGCCCAACGGUCACACGCGCUCCACGUCACCCAGUUGUUGUCCACGUGUAGGCUUGAAAAUCCACCACACUUGCGGGGGCGUGUUGAGAGUUGUCCCACAUCGAUGAGGGACAAAGUUUGCUAUGUGCUUAUAUGGUCUUGGGCUACUCCCUAAAUUGCCAAUUGGUUUCAUGGUGGAACCCCAAUUUCAUCAAAAACUACACAAUAAAGGUGAUGUAAGACUGGUAGAACACCUAGGACCUAAUUAGGCAGAUACCAUGUAGAAAUAUAAUUUCCUCAAUUCGGUGUGUAUACAAAUUUUACAAUGUAUAGGGUUAAACAUAAGGAUUGUUGAAGAAAAAUUAGUUUCGAAAAAUAAUGAAAAGCGUCUCAUAAUCUUUUCUUUCCAAAACCACCUAAUGACUUUCUUUAAUCAUAAGAACAAAGAGGCGUGGUAGUAUCGUAGAUAAGUUCAAGUUUGGGAGUGGUGGCAGUAUGAUAAAUUUUCGUUUAUGAAAAGGGUUACCAAUUUUAUGAAAAAUUAAAAAACGGUUGCGGUGCCACCAAACUUCAACUUAUUAACAAUAUUGUUAGCGCUUUCUUGUUUAUGUACCUAUUUGUCAUUAAAAAUUUCAUAUGUUGUUGAUUGCACGAAUUUCUUACAAAAAAUCUUCGGGGUGUGUAUGCGACCUUAACGCAAAAAACACUACUCAUAUCCUUAACCUACUUCAAAUUUUUUGUAAAGAAUUAAUGGCUAUGAGUCUAUGACCAAAUAUGAAUACGAAAAACUAAAUAACAUGUAAUUGAUAAUUAAUUGACUCACCUGAACCAGCAGCAAAGGACAACCAAUAAUUCCAUCAGAGCCUGGAAAAUUAAAUAAGAACUCCUCUAAAAGUGGACAAGGGGGUAGAAUUUUGUCUCCUAGUUGCUCAAGUGUGACAUCAGCAGAAGCCUCAACAAACAAGAUACCUUCACCGUUGCAAUCGACCAUGAGCUUUCUGUUAGGCCCUUCCUUAAGCCUUCCAGCUAAAGGGUAGUAAUACACUAAUGCUCUACUUAAGGCUUCCCUAAUCACCUUAACGGGAUUACAAUUUUUAUUAAGUGAAGGGUUAUCUUUGUAACACAUUAUGACUGGAACCUGAAAUCUCAAGCCUUCUUGGUCGUCAAUAUCUGAGAGAAACUUUGUUUCUUGAGGAGUUGGCUUUGCCGGAGUUAUAAGUUCCAAUUGCAAUCGUUUUACCUGAAGUACUGAGAGUGGCAUCAUUUCAGUAACGAGCUUAAGAACUAGCAAAAGAUCAAAGGAUUUGGAACUUUUAUUUUUUGGUAUGCAUGGUAACUAAAAGUUGAUAGUCAGUACUUAUAUAGCGUUAUGCAGAUGCUCUAGGGCUCCCGAAUCCUUCGUCCAAGUUUCCACCUGUUGUGAAUGUGAUUCUUUUCUUUUCCAUUAAAAAUGUUGUUAGAAAGAAACGUUUAAAUCACGCAAUCAACAUGGACUGCAAAGAAAACAUUGUACGUACCUGCCCCAAUUCACAGUUCACAGUUCACACCACAGAUUCGUACAUAUAAUAAUGAAUUUCAAUUCAACAUCAGAAAACUGAAUACUAACAGGGAUAUGAGGACAGGUGUUCGGUAGAAAACCUUUGAUAGGAAUGGAAGUAAAAAGGCCAACAUCGUUCGUACCUGCCCCAAUUACAGCUGUCACUUUUGUAAAACAUCCAUUAGACGUCUGCUAUAAAGGAAAACAUUGUUGGGACUUGGGAGCACGUGAAGUGUUGGGCUAUAAAGGAAAACAUUGUUAGAAGCAGGUCAAGUGUUGGGCUAUAAAGGAAAACAUUGUUGGCGUAUUGAUGGCGUGGAGCACGUCAAGCGUUGGGCUUCACAUAUGACAUAAUUUGCUCAGAUACCAUGAUAAAAGUUGAGGUUCCAUCUUCAUUUAGUAUUAUAAUUUAGUUGUAUUUCUCUUCACUUAUAAGUGAAAGAUUUUAUGUUCAAUUCUCGUCAAAGGUUCAAAGGAGAACUUGAACUACAUUAUUAUUACUCCAUUGUGAGUCUAAACCCAUUAUUUUUCUCUUAGUGUAGAUAAUGUCGUUUGUUAAACAAAAACAUAGAGUAGUUGAGUUUCUAUCAUAAAACUAAUUGACAAUAUGAAGAGUAACUCAAUUACUUAUAAGCACAUGCAAAUUCCUUCCCUUACCUAAUAUGAGAUCUAUACUCUCAACAUUUCACUGUUAAGCAAAUAUGUACAAAAAAAAAAUGGAACAAAUAAUUCGAUCACUUGGACAAAAUAGAACUCACUUAAGACAAUAUUAUAUUUGUUAAAGACAAGACUCACUGAAGACAAUAUUAUGUUUGUUAAAAUGGCAAUGGAGCUUCUGAUUACACCCAACUUUUAUCUCCUCACCCAAUGAACUCCUUUUACUCUACAAGAUUUUAAAAAAUUAACAUCUACUCUCCGUACUCACCGAAUCUUCCAAAAUUACCCCUUCCAAAUCCUUCUCCAUCUUACACGAUAUAUCUUCCAACAACCUCCCCUUCAAUACGGGGCUGCCGAACCCACUUUCCUCCAUCAAUAUUUGGUUCUUCAUCAAGUUAUGCACACUCUUUUGAGAAUUCAACUUAAUUAUAAGGAACAUGAAACCAACAGCUCUUAGCAACUACUUGUGAAUUAUGUAUUUAUUUGCGUUCAUUUAAGUUGGUGGUUAGCCAUCCAAUUGUUCUUCCCCAUCAAUUUUUAGAAGAAAUCAAACCAAACUAGACUUGAGUGUUCAUAUAUUCAUUGGAGUUGAAUAUAACAAUACGUAAAAUUCCAUCACUAAGAAGUAAGAAGCCAAAUUGUAUCAAGACUUUGUAACAGCAGCAUGAAGGUCAGAAGUCGACUUGGAGGAGAAGAUCGCGAGCGGGUUCAGCUAGCACUGGUUAACUGAACCCCCGAUUCCAUGUUCAUGGUUAUCGGCUAAUCCUCAACUCUUAUGUUCGGUGCUUAACUUCCGAACAUUGAACUUUUUGUCAAAUUUUGAUUGAAUAAAUGGAUAAAAACUAUGUAAAAAUAAUAAAUAAUAAAUGGCAAAAGAAUGUAUCCAUAGUGUUAAAAAAAUUGGUAAAUUUUACAAACAAAUUGGUACAUUUCACAUAUAACAAAGUGGUACAUUAAUAAAGAAGAAUGGGUACAUUAGAAAUAAAUUAGGGUACAUAUAAAAGAUUAAAAAUUAUGAAUACAAAUGAAUUUUUAAAAUAUAGGCGCUAAAAGAAAUUAAUACAUGGGUACAAAAUAAAACCAAAAAGAAAAUACUACAAAUUUAAAAAAAAAAAUGUUGCAAAUUAAAAGUGGGUAUAAACUAAAAAUAUAAAUAUAUGAUACAAAGUUUAGGCAUAAAACAUAAAUAUAUUAUAUGUAAUUUUUCUAUCAUUGAUUAAAUGUCAUGUGACGGUAUACACAUGGGUACAAACACAAAUAAAACUUUAAAAAAAUAUGGGCACAACAAGAAACUAAUAUAUGGGUACAAAUUAAAAAUGAAAAGAAAAUUGGUACAAAUUAAAAAAUAUUUGCAAAUUAAAAAUUGGUACAAACUAAAAAUAAAAAUAUAUGAUAAAAAAUUUAGUCAUAAAUAUAAAUACACUAAUUGUAACAUUUUUAUCAUUAAAGGAAUAUAUUUAAAAAUAAAAAUAUUUUAUUAUUCAAAUAAUUAAUGAUGUUAUUAAUACCCAAGGACCUUGAUCAAAAAUUGAAAAUGAAUAAAAUUUUAAUUAAUGAAGUAACAAAAAGAAGGAUGUGAACCUAAUUUUCCCUUGCCAGAUACCACAGACCACCUUUUCAAAGUGCUCUGACAGAGUUAAAACAUGUGAAACUGGCAGCUCCCACUACCGUGCUAUGACCAAGCAGGGUAAAGGAAUAGCAUUACUACUUGUUGUUAGGGAGACUCCUAUAUAUGUCGACUUCCAUCCCCAACGGACAGGCAGACCUGCAAAAAUGCUCAACCCUUCAUCAUAUCUGAGAGGGCACUCCCAACGAAGCCUUUCGAAAUAUUCAGCUUUCUUUCCCCCCGAUAAUACCUCUGCAAACAAGCUAUACUAGAGCAAGAAUAUCUCAUAUCAUCAGGGUUAAAAGCAAGAGUAUCCCAUAUCAUGCUUUUUCCCUGUCUUUUCCUUUGGCCUUGUUUUUACCUGCAAGACAAGGAGAAAGAGAGCAAUCAGUCAGCACUUGGAAUCAAGCUUCCAGCCAGGAAGUGACUGCCUGGAACCCCCUUACCUGAUUACUUACCUGGCAUUGCUCUCGAGUACUCAUCUUCAACAUGUUAUGUUUCCAGGGAAGAUUCCGCAUCUGCUUGAGGAACAGAUAGGGCAAGUGCGAAGGAUACAAGGAAGCAUGUGGAGACAAGCGUAACAGCACACGUGCCGAUACAUCCAUUACUCUGUCAAAAGCAAAAGUAUCCCAUAUCAGCAGGGUGGAACGUACUCUAGAUUUGAUGGACUUGUUUUGACCCUCAAAUUCUUGAGUCGGCCUUAUAUACUCUGGAGGAAACCAGAAAAACCCUCCAGCUCAGUUCAAGAAUAAGCCUGUGGAAAGUUACUUCUUCAAAAGCAAAAGUAUCUCAUAUCAUCUCUUCUCAUUUUUCUUUUCUCUUUAUCCUUCAUGCUGCUGCAAGAUGGGGAGAAGGUGAACAAUCAGUCGGAGCUCUGAUUGCUUACCUUGUCUGUCACCUCUUUCAGCAGACCCCCUAGCUCGGCGACUUGGGGGACUCCUACUACAUGGUUUGUAUCGCGCUUGACCAAGCCUGAAACUACAAGUAAGCUUCAAGUGAAAUUGAUACAUUACCUUGUGCAUCUCCACCAGUUAAAAGAUACCACCCCUGGAUGGAGGAAGAGUACUUCCAGAGAAGAUGCCACAUCUACCUAUGAGACAGAUAAGGCAAGUCAAGACGACACCACACACUCCGAUACUUAGAAGUUUCGUGAUUACGAGAUCAUUCUCCCACAAUAUUUCCGAAUGUCAUUUGUACUAAAUCAUUCACUUGUACUCACUAAAGGAGAGCUUGAACCUAUGUACUUGUGUAAACCCUUCACAAUUAAUGAGAACUCUUCUAUUCCGUGGACGUAGCCAAUCUGGGUGAACCACGUACAUCUUGUGUUUGCUUUCCUAUCUCUAUCCAUUUAUAUACUUAUCCACACUAAUGACCGGAGCAAUCUAGCGAAGAUCACAAAAAGCGACCGUUUUCGCUACCUAGGAUCUAUCUUGCAAGAGAACGGAGAAUUAGAUGGAGAUCUCAACCAUAGAAUACGAGCUGGAUGGAUGAAGUGUAAGAGUGCAUCCGGUGUGUUGUGUGACCGUCGUAGGCCACUGAAGCUCAAGAGAAAAUUUUAUAGGACGGCAAUAAGGCCAGCGAUGUUUUAUGGCACAGAAUGUUGGGCGGUGAAGCAUCAACACGUACACAAAAUGGGUGUAGCGGAGAUGAGGAUGCUUCGUGGGAUGUGUGGGGCACACGAGAAAGGAUAAGAUUGGGAAUGGGGAUAUCCGAGGUAAAGUAGGAGUAGCCGAAAUUGUAGGAAAGAUGAGAGAAAAUCGGCUCCGGUGAUUUGGACAUGUGCAAAGAAGGCCGACUGACGCUCCGGUUCGAAGAUGUGACUACGGGACAGAGGUUCAGGGCCGAAGGGGUAGAGGAAGACCUAGGAAAACUUUGGAAGAGACUCUAAGAAAAGACUUAGAGUACUUGGAUCUAACGGAGGACAUGACACAAAACCGAGCGCAAUGGCGUUCUAGGAUUCAUAUAGCCGACCCCACUUAGUGGGAAAAGGCUUUGUUGUUGUUGUUGUAAUAACAUUCAGACCUUUGGAUAACAACUAUAACUCUUGGAUAAGUUCCAAGAGACACAACUCUACAUUACAGAAAGUGCAUUACGUCUAAAACUCACACCAUUGACAUGAUCCUAGUGGAUCUAAGGUUGUUACAUAUAUAUCAUCCAUAGGUUCCUGAGUAAUCCUCUCUAGUUCCUGCUGAAAUCUCUCCAUGGCGGCCGAGGAUGGCAAACACAAUGGUACCAAUAUUCCAUCCUCAGUGUUGUUUUUGUGUUGAACGUAGAAGCUAAUCAAAUCCAAGGCCUUGGCGGGUCCAGCAAAUACAGGCUGUCCCCAUCCAAAAUUAACAUCUCCAAAACCUGCACGCGUAUUAUCAGAAACUAGGAAAUAACUUCCUGUUGAUGAAUAUUGAGGUCGCCCUCUUAGUACCAAAAGAUCUGCCACUGAUCUUAAGUAUUCUUCAUUCAUGGUAGCUUUAGCCUUCUUCACCAACUCCAAAGCAUAUCCCAGUGGAUUUUUGCAUAGAGGUUCAGCCUUUGAAACUGCAGUUGGAAAUGCAAAUGCAUUGCCACAGUAUCCCAAGGGAAGACGUACAUUGUGGUGCUUUCCCUGUGCAUUGACAAUGCAUGAAACUCGAACAGCCUGUUUUGGAUUAAUUUUAAGUGCAAGAGUGCGACAUUUCCACAAACAAGCUGUGAUCAAGUCAAAUGUGGAGCAAGUGGAAAUUACGUGGGGUGGAAUCUGUUUUCGAAUGACUCAUCUCCUUGGCACCAAAGUAGAAAGAUCGUUGAACCAUGUUUGACUGGUUACUGGAUGCGUAUGAGCCAUCAGAAUGAUCAAUCACGUCUUCAUAUUCAUGAUGAGCACAUGUAAUUGUUGGUGGAUCUCGAGUGAACAAGAGCUCUCUCUCCCACACUGGUAGAAUAGAUGGUGCAUGUGCGCAUCUUGCCAUCUCUGCAAUAGCGGUCAGGAACAGGAGUAAUCCAGGUGCAUCACACAUUGUGUGGUUUACGUGCAAUGCAAGUAUGAAGCCUCCACAUGUAAGACAUGUCACCUGCAUAUUGCAAAAGUUAGUUACUAGACUUUUUUCUUGAUCAUAUUCGUGCUAGUUAACAAUUCUUUAGAAGAAAAGACAAAAAAAUAAAUACAAACAACAACAACAACAACAACAAAGCCUUUUCCCACUAAGUGGGGUCGGCUAUAUGAAUCCUAGAACGCCAUUGCGCUCGGUUUUGUGUCAUGUCCUCCGUUAGAUCCAAGUACUCAAGUCUUUUCUUAGGGUCUCUUCCAAAGUUUUCCUAGGUCUUCCUCUACCCCUUCGGCCCUGAACCUCUGUCCCGUAGUCACAUUUUCGAACCGGAGCGUCAGUAGGCCUUCUUUGCACAUGUCCAAACCACCGGAACCGAUUUUCUCUCAUAUUUCCUUCAAUUUUGGCUACUCCUACUUUACCUCGGAUAUUCUCAUUCCCAAUCUUAUCCUUUAUCGUGUGCCCAUACAUCCCACGAAGCAUCCUCAUCUCCGCUACACCCAUUUUGUGUACGUGUUGAUGCUUCACCGCCUAACAUUCUGUGCCAUACAACAUCGCUGGCCUUAUUGCCGUCCUAUAAAAUUUUCCCUUGAGCUACAGUGGCCUACGACGGUCACACAACACGCCAGAUGCACUCUUACACUUCAUCCAUCCAGUUUGUAUUCUAUGGUUGAGAUCUCCAUCUAAUUCUCCGUUCUCUUGCAAGAUAGAUUCUAGGUAGCGAAAAAAGUCACUUUUUGUGAUCUUCGCUAGAUUGCUCCGGUCAUUAGUGUGGAUAAGUAUAUAAAUGGAUAGAGAUAGGAAAGCAAACACAAGAUGUAUGUGGUUCACCCAGAUUGGCUACGUCCACGGAAUAGAGGAGUUCUCAUUAAUUGUGAAGGGUUUACACAAGUACAUAGGUUCAAGCUCUCCUUUAGUGAGUACAAGUGAAUGAUUUAGUACAAAUGACAUUAGGAAAUAUUGUGGGAGAAUGAUCUCGUAACCACGAAACUUCUAAGUACCGGAGUGUGAUAUCGUCUUGACUUGCCUUAUCUGUCUCAUAGGUAGAUGUGGCAUCUUCUCUAGAAGUACUCUUCCUCCAUCCAGGGGUGGUAUCUGUAACUGGUGGAGAUGCACAAGGUAAUGUAUCAAUUUCACUUGAAGUUUACUUGUAGUUUUAGGCUUGGUCAAGUGCGAUACAAACCAUGUAGUAGGAGUCCCCCAAGUCGCCCGGCUAGGGGAUCUGCUGAAAGAGGUGACAGACAAGGUAAGCAAUCAGAGCUCCGGCUGAUUGUUCACAUUCUCCCUAUCUUGCAGGCAGCAUGAAGGAUAAAGAGAAGAAAAAUGAGAAGAGAUGAUAUGGGAUACUUUUGCUUUUGAAGAAGUAACUUUCCACAGGCUUAUUCUUGAACCGGGCUGGAGGGUUUUCUGGUUUCCUCCAAAGUAUAAGGCCGACUGAAGAAUUUGAGGGUCAAAACAAGUCCAUCAAAUCUAGAGUACGUUCGACCUUGCUGAUAUGGGAUACUUUUGCUUUUGACAAAAAAAUAAAUAAACCAUCUAAAUUAGAUGAUCUAAUUAGGAAACAAAAAUUUCAUAAAAUUAGGAAUAAAAUUCAACAAAGAUGGAGUCUCUUUGAAAGAGUCUUUAAAUAUAGAGGAAUUUAGACAAAACGCUUAUAAAAGAGAAAAAUUUAGACAGAAGACAAAGAGAAUGACAUGACGACAGGCAAAAAACCUAGAAGAAGAACGGGAAAGGAAAACCUACACAAUAAAGGUUAUGUGAGACUGGUAGAAAACCUAGGACCUAAUUAGGCAGAUACCAUGUAGAAAUAUAAUUUCCUCAAUUCAGUGGGUAUACAAAUUUUACAAUGUAUAGGGUUAAACAUAAGGAUUGUCGAAGAAAAAUUAGUUUCGAAAAAUAAUGAAAAGCGUCUCAUAAACUUUUCUUUCCAAAGCCACCUAAUGACCUUCUUUAAUCAUAAGAACAAAGAGGUGUGGUAGUAUCAUAAAUAAGUUCAAGUUUGGGUGUGGUGGCAGUAUGGUAAAUUUUCAUUUAUGAAAAGGGUUGCCAAUUAUUUGAAAAAGUUAAAAACAGUUGCGGUGCCACCAAACUUCAACUUAUUUACAAUAUUGUUAGCAUUUUCUGGUUUAUGUCCUUAUUUGUCAUUAAAAUUUUCAUAUGUUGUUGAUUGCACUAAUUUCUUACAAAAAAUACUCAUACCCUUAACCUACUUCAAUUUUUUGUAAAGAAUUAAUGGCUAUGAGUCUAUGACCAAAUAUGAAUACGAAAAACUAAAUAACAUGUAAUUGAUAAUUAAUUGACUCACCUGAACUAGCAGCAAAGGACAACCAAUAAUUUCAUCAAAGCUUGGAAAAUUAAAUAAGAACUCCUCUAAGAGUGGACAAGGGGGGUAGAAUUUUGUCUCCUAGUUGCUCAAGUGUGACAUCAGUAGAAGCCUCGACGAACAAGAUACCUUCACCAUUGCAAUCAACCACGAGCUUUCUGUUAGGCCCUUCCCUAAGCCUUCCAGCUAAAGGGUAGUAAUACACUUCUACUUAAGGCUUCCCUAAUCGCCUUAACGGGAUUACAAUUUUUAUUAAGUGAAGGGUUGAUUUUUAUUAAGUGAAGGGUUGUCUUUGUAACACAUUAUGACUAGAAGCUGAAAUCUCAAGCUUUCUUGGUCGUCAAUAUCUGAGAGAAACUUUGUUUCUUGAGGCGUUAGCUUUGCCGGAGUUAUAAGUUCCUAUUGCAAUGGUUUCACCUGAAGUACUGAGAGUGGCAUCAUUUCAGUAACGAGCUUUAGAACCAGCAAAAGAUCAAAAGAUUUGGAACUUUUAUUUUGUGGUAUGCAUGCCAACAAAAAGUUGAAAGUCAGUACUUAUAUAGCGUUAUGCAGAUGCUCUAGGGCUCCCGAAUCUUUCGUCCAAGUUUCCACCUGUUUUAAAUGUGAUUAUUUUCUUUUCCAUCAAAAAUGUUGUUAGAAAGAAAUACGCAAUCAACAUGGACUGCAAAGAAAAACAUGUUGUUGAGAGCCAUGUGCAUGGGACCAUUUCACAGUUCACACCACAGAUUCGUACAUAUACAUUAACACUGAAUUUCAUUUCAACAUCAGAAAACUGAAUACUAACAGGGUUAUGAGGACAGGCGUUCGGUAGAAAACCUUUGAUAGGAAUGGAAGGAAAAAGGCCAACAUCGUUCGUAACUGCCCCAAUUACAGCUGUGACUUGUAAAACAUCCAUUAGACGUCUGCUAUAAAGGAAAACAUUGUUGGGACUUGGGAGCACGUCAAGUGUUGGGCUAUAAAGGAAAACAUUGUUGGGGAGCACGUCAAGUGUUGGGCUAUAAAGGAAAACAUUGUUGGCAUAUUAGCACGGGAGACUAUUGUUUCACAUGACGUGGAGCACGUCAAGUGUUGGGCUUCACACAUAAGAUAAUCUGCUCUGAUACCAAAAUGAAACUUGUGGUUCCAUCGCCACUUAAUACUACAGUUUAGUGGUAUUCCUCUUCACUUGUAAGUAAGAGAUUUUAAGUUCAAUUCUCGCCAAAGACGAAUUUAAACCACAUUAUUAUUAGUUCAUUGUGAGUCUAAGCCCAUCAUCUUUCCCUCAGUGUAGAUAAUGUCGUUUGUUAAACAAAAAAAAAGAGUAGCUGAGGUUCCAUCAUAAAACUAAUUGACAAUAUGAAGUGUAACUCAAUUACUUAUAAGCACAUACAAAGUCCUUUCCUUACCUAAUAUGAGAUCUAUACUCUCAACAUUUCACUGUUAAGUAAAUAUGUAAAAAAACAAAGUGGAACAAAUAAUUCGAUCACUUGACAAAAUAGAACUCACUGAAAAUAUUAUGUUUGUUAAAGAUAGGACUCACUGAAGACAAUAUUAUGUUUGUUAAGGAACAUGAAACCAACAGCUCUUAGCAACUACUUGUGAAUUAUGUCUUUAUUUGCGUUCAUUUAAGUUGGUGGUUAGCAAUCCAAUUGUUCUUCCCCAUCAAUUUUUAGAAGAAAUCAAACCAAACUAGACUCGAGUGUUCAUAUACUCAUUGGAGUUGAAUAUAACAAUACGUAAAAUUCCGUCACUAAGAAGUAAGAAGCCAAAUUGUAUCAAGACCUUGUAAUAGCAGCAUGAAGGUCAGGAGUCAACUUGGAGGAGAAGAUCGCGAGCGGGUUCACCUAGCACUGGUUAACCGAACCCCCGAUUCUAUGUUCAUGGUUAUUGGCUAAUCCUCAACUCUUAUGUUCGGUGCUUAACUUCCGAACAUUGAACUUUUUGUCAAAUUUUGUGUUCAGAAUGUUCAAAUACAUGAUUCAAUCUAGUUGUAUUUUAUUUAAGAAAAUAGAAACAAACCCAAGAGGAUUUCAGGGAAAAGUGAUAGCAUAGGGCAGAACAUUGCAGCUCAAACGUCACUUACAUACUUCAAUGAUUUAGGGUUUUGGUCACGAUACCACCUUACAUCUCAUUUAAAUUAGCUAGUUAACAAAAGCCUUCAAGAACCCAGUUGUUCUAAGCUAAUCUAAACCUCACACCAAAGCAAACCUAUAUCAGCCCUACAUUUGUAAUUUUGGACUGAGUCAACAUAUUUGGCCGUUACAAAUUUUGAAAAAACUAAGCCAUUACUUUUGUUUAAUACAAAAAAUUGGAAGCUAGAAAUCAAUUUAGGCAUCAACACUCUCCUUCAAAUUGUUUUUAGUUUUGACACCAAGCAAAUCACUGAGGAAUACAAAAGUCUCUUUUAGCGUACCCUUAGUAAAUAUAUCAACAGUUUGAUCUUCAUAUUUGCAAUAGAGUAAUUCAAUCACAUUAUCUGAGGUACAAAGGAUCUCUAAUAAAGUGAUGGUUCCUCUUGACAUGUUUUGUUGUUUAGUGAAUCAGAGGAUAUCUUGUUAUAGCAAUUACAAAGGUGUUGUUGAAUUUUAGUGAUAUAGCAUCUACUUUGAAAAGGUAGCUGGGUUGAGGAACCCAAACCCAAUAGAUAAAUAAUCUCAACUAAAAUUCCAAACGAGGAUUCAAGUACAGUUUCAAUCAUACUACGUAACAGUGAAUAACAAAAUUAAAUAGAGAAAAAAGAACAAAAGACUCACGAUAUAAUUCAUGGGCAUACAACCGACUAAAGAACCAUUGAGAAAUAAGUACUUUUACAAGACAAACAUCUACUACACUUGAAGUUUUCUCUUGUACUUUUAAUCAUGUAGCACACAGUCUUUCUUUUGCUCUCUUUUGGAUGAACAUGACGCACUCAGCAAAUUCUCCUCACGACUAAAGAGAUUGCACUCAACUUCGUCACAUAGAUGGACACAACUUCUUCACCCAAAUGAAUAUGAUGAAUAAUAUGAAAGGUAUGAAGUGUUUCACUAAGAUCACUUUUCUAACCUAGCACUCAAGAACUUUGUUUUAAACCUUUUAUGCUCAAAUCUUAUAACCAAGCAAAGAUGAAUGAUAGGCUUGAUUUCCUAUGAAACCAACAGUCUAGAAUAAAGGAAACUGGAAUUAUGAACUAGAAUAAAUCAAAUUGAGUUUAUUUCUUAAAACUAAGCAAUUAAACUGAUAUUAUAAUCUUCAAGAUAUGCAAUGAUGUGAUUCUCGUUUCCUAUAUGAAUGCACAUGAUACUCCAAUAUAUGCCUUGAUGUGCACGUUUUCAGUAAUUAAACCUAGAAACUACGACACGCCUAAAAUAUAGAACUAAUAUAUUGCAGACGCAUUAAACUUGUCUAGGAAAUUAGCCAAAUACAAAAGCUUGCGCUUUCACACUUGCAUUCAAUUAAGUCCUUAAGAACAAACCUCAGCCAAAUUGCUUGAGAAUAGCCUCUCCAAGGAAGAACAUCACUUCGAAGAAAGUCGUCUUUGACUUUGGGCUAAUCAAGGGUUGUCAUUCCUUUAAUUCUAUGGUGAAAUUGGGUUAAGAUAAAAAAUAAUUUUUUUUAACAAAUGAUAUUAUCUACAUUAAAGAGAGAGUGUGCUAAACCUAACAAUGGGCUAGCAUAAUGUGGUUCAAAUUCUCUUUUGUCGAUAAUCUAACCUAAAACCUUUCAUUUACAAGUGAAGGGAAAAACCACUAGACCGAAGUACUAAGUGGCAAUACUUUGGAUUAGUUUGGUAUUCCUGUGCUUUCUAAAAAAAUGUGAUUAUGUUGUCCUAUGAGAAUAAACAGUUGUUGCGUGUUUGAUAACUUUUUUUUUUUGUAAAAGUGCUUUUAACACAAAAAAACAGUGUCUGAGUGUUUGGUAAAUUGUUAUAUAAAUUGUUGUGAAUGUGUUAAAUAACUAAAAAGGAUAUGGUAUGUAGUGUGAUAUAAUAAUUGUCAAAGACAAUAACGUAGGGGCAAAAAUUGUAAUUUUGUAAAAUAUGUGGGGUUGUACUUGCCUUUGAAAAUUUUAUUAAAUGAGCACUAAUUACUAUAUUUCGAAGAAAAAAACAAAGCACUUUCUUUAGAAGCAUGGUAGACUCUGUUUUUGUUUUUUCUAUGCUUUUCUAUUGUCAUUGACAACAGUUUUUUAAAAAAUCAUUUUUUUUUUUGUUACUGUUGACCGGAAAAACUACCAAGCCCACGUGGCGCGUAGGCCAAAUAAUUAAUAAGCUAACUACGUCAUUCGGUUGUGUGUGGGGCGUGCCAACUCGUCGGCCGAGCUCGGCCGGGGAGUAAAAUGUUUUAAUGUCAUGUUGGGCGUGCUGUUGACUUCUUGAUCUUACGACUGCGGCCGAGGAAGGAACAUGUCUCGGCCUUCCGGAUCUAGAGCCUGAAGACAAGGUUGCUAGUUCUGCGAAGUUCAAAAUCAAAUUCAGCUUUCAAUGUGCCGAAUGUAGUAACCUGUAACACCUCACUUCGUCGAGAAGGCUAAUGAGAUGACCUCUGCCAAUAAGGAUUUGAAAAUCCUUCUCGACCGAGACUUAGAUAGAUAACUAGUCGGCCUAUUCGCAGUGCUGUUUAUCUAAAUUGUAGGUGCUCCGCGGUCGACUGAUUCUAUGGCAACAGUGUUGUUUAUCCAAACUGAAGAUGUUCGCCGGUUGCCUUCACAGUGAUGUUUAUCCAAACUGAAGAUGUGUUGGCGAAAAAGGAAAAUAAAAAUCUCAAGGUUGUUGAGAGGUUUCGCGUAGAGCGAGAGUUUGCGCAUGGCAGCUUGUGUGUUGAAUUGGAGGGGGUCAUCUUCUCGUUGCCACUGCCUCUGUAUUUAUAGGGACGCGCCGACUUGAUCUUUGAAUAUUGCACGAGAUUUUUGGCGUGGAUCAGACUCAACCAAAUGCAUGGAGUUCUCAUGCAAUUAUCCAACCAAUUUAAAAUCUCCAUCAUUAUCUCCUUUUCUCCUUAUUGUGUCCAUCAUUAUCCAAGUAUUUGAUGAUCUCCAUGUGCUGGAACCAAGGCAUGCAAAUAAUUAGCAUGCAAGUUUAUCUCUUAGCCAUGCAUUUCAAACUGAAACAUCACAACAAUCCACUCAUCUUUCCACCAAAUUUGACCAGGUGCAAUCAUGCACUAUCAAAAAGUUCAAACUUGAUCCCAUCUUUCCCAUCCUUUCAAAGCCCACGAGUUCCAAUCUGAUGCAAUUUGUCCGACUAGAUUCUUGGCAUCCUACCAAGGAUAAUUUGGGGGUGCUCUUUAUUCCACCAUCACUUUAUAAUUUUAUCCAUGCAUGCAUAAUAACCUUCAGCCGUCUAAGUGAACUCCAAAUUUUGUUUGUUUACUAAUUAUCAUCAUACUUUAAAUGGAUAAUAAUCAAUUUGCAGCAUACCACUUGAACCUGUCAGUCAACCAAACUGAUCUCACCCACACAUUCACACGCCAAACAUCCAAAAUCAACUUGAAUUGUGCUACCGUGUUUCCAGCUUGGAGAUACAUAUCUCAUCUUAAUUAUCAUUAAAAGAUAAUUAUCAUAAUAUUAUCCUUCAAUAAUAACAAAACGAUCUUCACUAUUCGAUCUGAUGGUUGGGGGCUAUGCUUACUCAAUGACCUUGAUUGCAUGGGCCGAUGAUGUAAUUUUGGGUCCAAACAGUUACCAAACACACUUAAUGUUCCAGAUUUUUUAAAAGCAUUACAAUCCCAAAUCAGCCAUUUGUUAAAAUGUUUAGAAUUUUCUCAACCAAAUGGCUCAAAUGUGUAGGGGGAAUACUAUUAUGUAGUUGGCAUUCAGUGACUUGCUUAAUUUCUUUGAUUAGUGAAUAUGUUCUAGAUUGUUAAAUUAUUUUGUAUAAACUUAGCAUCCAUAAAGCAUUUUAAGUUAAACCAUAUUCACUAGCAAGAGCAUUUAAAUUGUACGACGUAGAAGACAAUUCUGAGAUCAAUCAUAAUCAUGUUUCGAAUUUUUACAUUUUUGCAAUUGAGUUAUAAGGAAAGACGUUCACUAUUCUGUUAAAAAUAAGGGAAAAACACAACAGUACAUAAGAUCACAGUUAUAAGCAUGAAUAUAUAAAACCAUAUAGUACUAACCUGAAGCAGCAGGCAUGAUGCUAAGGUUAUAGGGUAAGGAAGUUUUCUCCACACACAAUCAGAAUGUUCUUUACUGAUGAAUAGGGUAAACAACACUAAAGAAGAACGCAUACUAUGUGUGCAGAAACAUCCAUAUUUAUAUCACUAGGGUUUCCUACUAAUCUGCCUAUCAUCGAAUAGUCAGGAAUAUCCCAUAGCUUAUGAUAUCAAUUAUGUUUCUUAACAUGAUAUAUAAGUCUUACCAAAUGAGGCCUCCUAAUUAGUUGCAUGUGAUUAAGACUUCAAAUCUCAUUCAUAUCAGGACUCCCACAUAUUUGGCCGAGAAUCAACUUGGAGAAAACUUCCUUACCCUAUAACCUUAGCAUCAUACCUGCUGCUUCAGGUUAGUACUAUAUGGUUUUAUAUAUUCAUGCUUAUAACUGUGAUCUUAUGUACUGUUGUGUUUUUCCCUUAUUUCUAACAUGAUAUAUAAGUCUUACCAAAUGAGGCCUCCUAAUUAGUUGCAUGUGAUUAAGACUUCAAAUCUCAUUCAUAUCAGGACUCCCACAUAUUUGGCCGAGAAUCAACUUGUUACCAAGUUGAUUGUCGUGUAAGUCAACGGAUGGGAUUUCAUUGAUAUUCAAAUAAUCUUACAUAUUCUUCUAAGAAGAGGUUUGAAUUAAACCCAUUUACAUCAAAUGGGUGGGUCAUUUGUGGAGUGGCAGCGGCACAAGAAACCAAGUGUGAUUUGCCUACAGAGCCGUAAUCUCAUGUUGCAUGGCAGCACGCCAAUGGAGGUCUUGAACAGCCUGCGAAAAACUUAUGGGUUCUUUAAUGACCGUGAGGUUAGCUGUAUAGGAUUUAUGGUAGGGUGAAAAACAAUUAUACGAUAAGUGGUGAGAGAGUGGAUGAGAGGUACCUGAUGACUUAACCACGUUCAUUGAAGAUGUCGAAGUAAGUCUUGACGAAAGAGAGGUCUCGACGUGAAAGUCCUGCAAAAAUGAGGAAGGCUUUGUGGGACGUAUGACACGGUGGAGUGGUAAUGGUGUAGGUGCAGGGCUGGGCGGGGUGAAAUAAGGACAGUAGGUGGUGUUUCUGGAGAAGGCAAGAUCCUGUUCGGUAUUUGUGAUGGUGAUAAAGGUGGCUGCAAUAUUUCUGGUGUUGGUGGGCAUAUAAGGUUUGUGUGGUAUCAUGGGAUUCAAGAGAUAACUUGUUAGAUGUGAUGACUUGAGGAAUGGUGGGAGGGAAAGAGUCCAUAUCUAAGUGCAAUGGUGAGAAGUUUGUAUUGAACAAGGAAUUAGAGGCAGCGGAAAUGUCUGAGGUGUGGUAGGGAAAUUGAUCUCAAAAAAAAAAAACAUCCCGUGACACAAAAACCUUUCGGAGGGUAAGAUCAAAUAAUCUGUAACCUUUUUUUACCAUAGGGAUAACCAAUGAAAAUGCGACGACAUGCACAAGGGUCAAAUUUUAAAGGCAACUCGUAGGUGAAAGUAAUUCAGUUCCUUGUGAAACAAUUUUUCAUAUGGUGUUUUUCCUUGAAGAAUUGGUGUGGGUGUUCGAUUUAUGAGAUAGGCAGAAGCUAGGAUUGCAUCCCACAAAAACGUUCAAUUAGGAAGAUUAGCUUGAAAAAGUAAGGCUCGAGCAACAUUAAGCAAGUGUCGAUGCUUACGUUCAGCGACACUAUUUUGUUGUGGUGUGUUGAUGCAACUAGUUUGAUGGACAAUUCCCUUGAGAUUAUAGAAAGUGUCAAGUUUGAACUCAAGACCAUUGUCACUUCAAACCAUUUUGACCUUAGUAUUGAACUGAUUUUCUACCAUGUGGAUGAAUUGGACAAGGAAUUCUAUUGUAUCGGAUUUGUGUUUCAUCAAAUAAAUUCAUGUGCUCAUAGUAUAAUCGUCAACGAUGGUGAGAAACUAUUUUGCACUUGAAAUAGAAGUAACUUGAUAACCACCCCAAAUAUGAACAUGGAUUAACUCAAAACAUGACUUAGUGGAUAUGGAACUCAAUGAAACGGUAAUCUCAUUUGUUUGGCCAAUGAGCAAAAAUGAAACAUUUAUUUGAAUCACAAGAUUUAUUUUGGAAAAAAGGAAAUAACAUGGAAACUUUAUGCGAUGGAGUGCCCAAAAAGUUGAUGCCAAAAGCUAUAAGGUGGGGUUUUGACAGUUUUGCAUGUUCCUUUCUUUGGUGGGUCGAGAUAAUAAAGUCCAUCUCGUUCAAUUCCCGUCACAAUCAUCUUCCCUGAACGUAGGUCCUGUACGACACAAAAUUGGUUUAGAAAGAUUGUGAUGUAUAAUGAGUCAUAGGCUAAUUUGCUAAUUGAUAUCAAGUUUAACGUAAAGAGUGGUACACACAAAACGUUAUCAAGAACAAGGUUGGGAAAGAAAAUAACUUGUCCAACAUGAGUAAUUUUAGCAAAUGAGCCAUUUGGUAAUUCAGCAGUAUGGUUUUCAACGGGUCUUGAAGAUGCGAGGGAAUCAGGACUGCAAACGAUAUGGUCUGUGGCCCCACUAUCCAAAAUCCAAACUUUUUUCUUGUCAUUGCAUGUGAAAGAAAAAGCUUUACCUGAAAGUUCUUAUGGUUUGAAGAAUUACCCACUUGGUUGGCAAAAUAUGAUUUGUUCCUGUUCAGCAUUUGGAGAAUUUGCUUGCAAUCCUCCUGAGAAAAAGGAAAGUUAGGCAUCACUUCCCUUUUGUCGUGGGUUGCAACUUGAUUGCCUUUGGAGGAGAAAGGUCGACUUUGUUCACUCUCAAAGGCUGUCUUCCUCUUGAGGCAAAAACCAAAAAAGUGACCCUUCCAUCCACAGAAGGUACACUUGAGAUAAGCACGACAAUUUUUAGUAGUGUGAUUCGUCUUGUUGCACUUCCCAAAUCGAGGUCCACCGUCCUCUUAUUCAGCUUCUCGGCUAGUGGUUUUCACGGCAAAUUCCGCAACUUCUGGUUGGGUAAUAUUGUUUUUCCCACCGGAAACUUCCGCCUGUCUCUCAACACGGAGAACCAAUGAGUAGGCUUUGUUUACUGUGGGCAGUGGCUCAAGAGAAGAAUGUUGUUGCGAACGGUGGCAUAAGAAUCAUUCAACCCCAUGAGAAACUUCAUGGUCUUCUGUGUUUCAACGUACAAAGCAAUCUCCUUCUUUGUUUCACAAUUACAUGCCACAAUCGAACAUAGUACUCCUCGUUCAUCCUAGAGACUUUUUAGUCUGGUGAAGUAGGAACUUACUAUCAUGAUUCCUUGCACGUAGCUGUGAAUCUCAUUCUUUAUGUAAAACAGUUAGACGAUGUUCACAUGAGAGUUUGCCCUAAUACGUCUAAACUUGUCUAAUUUCAUUACUUUGUUGUGGAAUAUUUGAUAAGUAUUUAACGUCAUUUCUUUUUUGUUUUUUCACUUUUAUACCGUCUGUUAUACAUUUAUGUGAUUAAAUCUACAUGAAGAAUAUUAGGGUUCCAAACUUAAUGCGUGUGAUGUCUCUAUGACGAACGUGACUAGUUCAUGUUAAUUUGUACUUAUUUAGGUGGGAUUUGAGUAUUGAACCCUUGCCUUAUGUACUUAAUCACAUCUUUUAAGUUGCCCAAACUCUCAAUUUCUUUGCGGCAGUGCGCAGUCGAACAACAUGCAGCCUUGCCCCCACAUUUCAAGGAAAUAUCAUUUUUUUUUUGUCGAAGGAAAUAUCAUAUCAAUUGGGCAAUUUCAUGGGUGGAGAAGCUGUUGAGAGCCUGCAUGCAAAUGAAUAGGAUGAAGUUGUUGCCACUAUAGAUUGUAAAAGAGUUAAGGAUACUGAGGAAGAUUUUGUAAAAGAGUGCUGCAUUCUCGAUAGAGUGCUUCAUGCGUAAGGAUGGCAACGAUUCGGAUCGAAAACUUUUGCACUCUUAUUUAUUUAACUGUGAAAAAUAUUGGUACACAUAACCACAAAUUAAUCAUUUACAUGAUAACGAAUUUCCCAUCGUUUAACUUUACUAGUUUACCCAUUUCACCCAUAACAAAACAGAAAAAAACAAAUUUUUUGUAAUUAAUAGAAGAAAAAAAACCCCCAUAUUUAAUCACAUUAUGUCAAUCACGGUCUAGUGGUAUUCCUCUUCACUUGUAAGUGAGAGGUGUUAGGUCCGAUUCUCGUCAAAGGGGAAUUUGAAUCAUAUUAUCGCUAGCUCAUUGUAGCACUUAGCACACUCCCAAUAAACAGCCACCCUCUCUCUCAGUCUCUCUCGAAGCAACUGCUGCAAGCAUGCAACUCUCUCAAACAAAAGAACAAAGCCUCCCUCCACCACACAAAUACGGCCAGCCACCACCACACACAACCACAAGCCACCACGAUCCGGCGAUUCUCCAUUUCCCUCUCUCAGACUAUCUCUUUCUAGGAGUCGGCGUCUCUCUCGACAAUUUCUACAACAACGGUGAGCUAAGAACUCUCCAUCUCGCAUUUUGAUUUUUCAUCAUUUACCGUCGCUUCUUAUUCUCUGAAAUGGAAGAGACCCCCGAUGAUUGAGAUCUUGAACGUCAUGCAAGAAAUUAAAAGCGAGAAGCCCCGGUAAUCCUCUUUAUUUAGGGAUUUAGGAUUAAUUUUUUAUUUAGGAUGCAUGUUGAAUUAGGGAUUUAUGAUUUAGGGCUUUUGAUUGUUGCUGCAUUUGGAUUUGGAUUUUUGGAUUAAUUUUAUGUGGAUUUGGUUGAUUUGGAUUUCUGAUAUUGGAUUUGGAUUUGGGUUUGAUUUGUUUAUGAGGCAAAUUCCUAUUGAAUUGAAAUUCCGAACUGUACGACCGAAUCCAGAAACUUGUUUUGAGAAUACCGAAAUUUCGGUUCGGUUUUGAUUUUCAGAAUCCCAUCCUGAUAAAGAUUGGUUGGAGAUUCGACUGAUCGAGAUGGCGAUUCGUACCACCACUAGUUUUGAUCAAGGUCUAAAAUAUCGAUGAUAUCGGAAAUAUCGGUAGUCCAAAAACACGAAAAUUUCGAUGAAAAUAUCGGGAUAUUAUCUGUCACAGCUCGUCUCAAGAUUCUAUUUGUCGAGGUUGUGAAAUGACGAAAGUACCCUUGACGGUUACAAAGGUAUGUGUAUGGCAUGUUUUGAAUAAUGUAUAUUUUCCUAAGUUUUGGAAAAUUUAAGUUGGAUUAAAGGAUGUAUGUAUAUUUGUGUGGUUAGGGAAUUAAGAGUGACUUGUUUUUGGGUGGACCACACACAAACGCACGGGACAAACCUUUCAUUCCCUGUGCCGUCUCUCUCUUCCCUCGCAGCUCACACUCUCUCUCCCUUCGAAUUGUACGGACCAAAGCACAAAACCCUCGAAUCACCACGGAUCGACGCCAAUAAGGUGAGAUUCUUCAUCCUUUUAACCUCCUGAUUUGAAUGGUGUUACUUUUAGAACUGAAAACUUUAGAAAUCUCGUCGAACCCGUGACCCAUUUUGAAAUCACUAUUCAUGCACACAUGAAUUGUUGAAUUUCAGGGAAUUCUAAGCCUACAGUGAGCUUAGUGAGGUUCUAAGGAAGCUCGGAGUGCUUAGUUUGAAGGUUUUGGACGUCGGGAUUGUUGAGUUCUAAGUUGGCCGGUUUUCUUGGAAUUUCUCCGGUGAGAUUUCGUAGUUUUUAGAGCCUUAAACUAGUACAUCGUGAUUCUACAUGCUUAGGGCUUCAUUUUGAAAUAAAAUGCAUGAAAAAUGGUUGAGAAAUGACGGAGAACAAGGAGAUUAAAAAAUCUCCAGUUUUCCGAUGACCGGAAAAACCAAUCUGGCGAUUGGAGGAAGAAUAUGACGCGUGUAGGUCUGUGCCCCUCCCGGCACGUGGGGGCGCGUGUGGCCUCGGAAAUUUUUUCUAAAAAUACCUCGACGUCCGUGACGUCGAGUAGGUCACUGUGGUAUAUUCAUAUACUCAAAUUGAGCAUCGUAUGAGAAGUUAUUACGAAUUGUCGGUUAUGUGCUUUAAAUAACAUUGUUUUAGUUGUUUUGCAUAUAGGUGAUACCUAUCCUGAGGACAAGCGCAUCCAGGGACGUCACGGGGGUUACGACCCUUCGACUUAUCAGUGAGUGGGCAGUUGUUUUCUAUUUAUACCUAUAUACUAUUGAUUUCCCAUAAAUUGAAUUUAUAUGAAAGUAUGUUUGAAAAUGCCAUGCAUGCAUAUUGUGAAUUAUAUGAGUUGAUAAUUGAUGCAUAUAUAUAUAUAUAUAUAUGCGAAUUGGUGAUGUGGACGCACAGGUGAGUAUCAGGUGAGUUUUAUGUUAUUUAUGUGAAUCAUUGAUGAUAUGAAUUGUGUUGAGAGCUCAUAACAUGCACCCCUGGUGUUAGUGUUUAUAGUAUUCACCGCACCGCACGCUCACCUUGGAUCCAAGUAGGUGCAUGUCGUACAGACCAUGAGAGGGUUCCGACAUGCUAGUCGUACAGAUCACUUAAGGUGGUUCCGACUGGUAGGUGACCUUAGAUUAUGUGCACAGAUGAUUGAUGAGAGAAGCACUAGAGCGUAUUAUUACACCAUUCUUGUUGUACAGACUACUUCAGGUAGUUCUGACUUAUGUGCAGAGUAGUGUCGUACAGGUCACCAUGGUGACUCCGAUUGGUUGGAUAUUGAGCUAUGGAAUUAACCGUACAGGACCAACUGCAGGGUCUCCGGUUGAUUCAUUAUGUCACCUGUUAUAUUGAUGCAUCCAUAUUCUGUUAUUGACAUUUAUGGCAUGGCAUAUUUUCUGGGUUUUGGUAAAGAUUGGUGAUUUGAGAUAUUUGAAGAAGUAUAUGCAUAUUAUGUUAUUUUCUGGGAAAGUAUAUAGGUUUUACAACGAAGGGUUAGAAAUGUUUUAAAUAAAAUGUUUUUGAAAAACUUUGGUUUUACUGACCCACUCAAUUUUGUUUUGCGCCCCUCCAGGUUCUAGUUAGCAACGUUGGUGGCCCACGAGGAUUCCCACGGCGUACUGACAGACUACAUAAAUGUAGGACUCACCUGCGAGUGUUGUAAUUUAGUUAUGGUCCUACUUGACUACACCUAGUACUUAUGCUCUGAAUUUGUGUGUUUCACACUUAAACUUACUCUAGCAUGCUAGUUGGAUAUUAUUGCUAGUAGUUGGUUUUUAUUCCUUCGUAUUUCUCUUAUCUUUUGCUUCCGCAUCGCACUUUUGGUUACGUCACGCUCACGUGAUGGCCAGCACACCUUGAUUCUAGGAUCGGGGUGUGUCAUUAUCGAUAUCGAUAAAAAUUAAAUAAAAACCACGGAAAUUGUAAGAAAAACUUGGAAAUUUUUAUUGAAACUUUGCAGGAUGUUUAUUUAGUCAAUUAUCUAUUAGUUUAUCACAAAAAAAAUGGAAGGAAAUGCAUUGCAUGAUGAAUUUAACUGAUUUAAGUUGAUUAUAUAGCGAGCUGACAAACAUUGUGAGUGUAGAAAAUAUGUAGUAAUUAAUGAAAGAAGUUUAAACAUACCAUAAUCAUUUAUAUAUAAUGAAUUAGUACAAUAUUUUACACUUUAUACAUUGCAUGGUAAGAUACAUGAGUGACUUAGUACCACAUAGAGUUCCUAUCAAGGUCUAAAAUAUCGAUGAUAUCGGAAAUAUCGAUAGUCCAAAAAAACGGAAAUUUCGAUGAAAAUAUCAAUAUUUUAGACCUUGGUUUUGAUCUGGAAAGAAGUUUGAUUAUGGAGCAUGCAUAUUCACUUUCUACUUGUGCAAUCUGACUUUUAGAAGACACAUAUACUUCAACACCUCUGCUUACAUUAGUAAGCGAGGUGGACAACUCUAAGGCGUGCAGUGGUGAAUUGCAUAUUGAUUUACUGCUAAAAAAAGGAGAGGAAAAUAAAUAAAAAUAGAAAAAACUUAUAAAUAUAUGCAAUACCUAACAAAGCACUUAAAGACUUUCGAAGUCGUGGCCUACUGGCAUGCACACAACACGCACGCACACACGAGACACACGUGUGUCACAGUGGGGGAAACCCUAGCAGCCAGCUCAUUAGACUAUUUCCAACCCUUGGGUUAAAAGUCAAUUUUUUAAGCCCAUAAAAUUUAGCCUUUAGCCUAUAAACAAUUUUUCUACUUUAAUCCUUCUAGCCUAAAAUUUUAGUCCGGGAUUAUUAAAGAAUGAACUUAAGCUAAUUUUUUUUCUUAAAUUAACCUUUUUAAAAAUAAAAAAAAUUUAUGUAGACUAUCAUAAAUUAAUUUUAUGAACAUUUUAAUCUAAAAAUAUUUAAAUUCCGAUAAAUAUUGAAAAAUCACUAGAUCGAUACAUGAAACACUAUGGAAGAAUAUGAAAAUCAUGAUAAAGAUGUAUAAACACAAAAUACAUAAAACACACAAGACACAGAACACAUGUGAAACACAUACAAAACACAUGUGAAACACAUACAAAACACAUGAUAGAGAUGAAGCACACACAAAACACAUGUGAAACACAUGACGCACACGAAACACAUACAAAAUACAUACAAAGCAAGCCUUCAACUUUCACUAAUUGGUCAACUUUCACCAAACUUUUAACUUUCACGAAUCAUUCAACUUUCACCAAACUUUCAACUUUCAUCAAUCAUCCUCUAUAUAAACACAGGUUGAAUAUCAGUUGAUCGCACAAUCUUUCAACCUUCAAUCAUCCUCUAUAUUCAUCAAUCUUUCAACUUUCAAAGUGUUUUUGUUUCCUAAAAAUCCUCAAUAUCUCAUCAAUGGGUGAUAGAAAAAUGUGUAGCAGGGCAAUGCAGAUGGCAUAAUACAAAGCAAGCCUUGACAUUGAGGAUAUAUAAAUGAUCAACGCAGAAGCUAAACUUGCAAACUUGCUUAUACAAUAUGAGCAUCAUGCCAAAUCUAGCUAUCGUGGUUCUGUUACGGGGCGUUCAUUUGUGCAGCGUGAUAGAGAGGAGUGUCAUGACCGAAUGAUGAAAGAUUAUUUCAUCGAGUCGUUGGAUUUAAUUAUUUUAGCUGUUGGAUUCAAAUUUGGGCCGUUAGAUCUUUUUUAAGCCCAGAAAAUUUAGCCUUUAGCCUAGAAAUAGUUUUUUUGCUCUAACCCUUCAGGCCUAAAAUUUUAGUCCAAGAUUUUUGUAGGGGAUGUGGAGUGCUCGGCGGCGGGAACGUUGAGCCUCUUCAUCAUCCCAAUCGAAGGGUGAGGUGACAGCUUUGACAACAGAGGUGGCCGACCUUAAGACUGAGCUAGCCUCGUAUAAGUGCCAGAUGUCACUAAUUGUAUAGGCCCUCAGUCAAUCCCGCAUUCGUCUCCCGGAUAUUCGUCCCCUAUCGACGUGCUAGCCCCUCCAACCUGAGCAUGCCCAGAACUCUGCCCCUUCGACCUCUGAGCCUGUCCUCAACCCCGACCCCUUCUUGCCCCAAUCUUUCCAUCUGCAUGUGAACGACGACCCUGUAGAUUAUUCCCCAUUUUUUUCUUAGUUGUUUAGUCCCUUACUUUUAAUUUUUUUUCUUUGUACAUACAUUUUAUUUUUAUUUUAAACAAAUUAUUUUUCUUUUCAUUACAUUAUUUUAUUUUAUUUUUAUUUUAUUAUUUUAUUAUAAAAUUAAACCCAGAACAAAAAAUAUAUAUAUAUUUUUUUUUGCGAAUAAUAGCUUCGUCGUGCAUACUUUUUUGCGAUAACUCACUUUCGUUGCACAAAGUUUUUACACAAAUAUUAGUCGUUCUAAGUUUGCAUCCUGGCAUUUUGUGUGACGAACAUAUUCGUUCCUAAAAAUUUGGUGCAAUGAAUGAGGAAUUGUCAUGCUUUAUUUUCCGCGACCAAUGCUUUUAUUCAUCACGCAAAGUCUUUCUUCACGAUUUUUGCGCGACUGAUUCUACAUGAAGAAGUUUUCGUCGCGCAUACGUUUGUGCGACGCUAUGAAACUUUGCGCGACCAAUUUAUGUUCGCCGCACUAAAUGUUAAACGCGGUGGUGAUUGAAUUUUACUUUAAUUUGAGUCUCAACUCAAUUCAAGUUCAACAAACUUUUAACAAAAUGGGGCUGAAAAUUUUAACUAGAAUGAACGAGCCAAGGAGAUCUCAAAACCCUAAAUUACGAGUGGGUGGGAAGAAUAUUUGAGUGCUUGUAAUUGUUGCUCCAUAUGAUAAGCAAGGCUCCUAUCACAUGUGUGAUUAGUUUGCUUUUGUGUUCUUGAUCGCUUAUAUAUCAUUUUGCUCUUAUUGGUUUAAGGGAAUAAAGGCUCAAACUUCUUGACAUUUUCCUGAUACUUCAAUAAAUCCAUUGAAAACUUACUAAAUUGUUCCACAAAUGGGCAAUUUGAUUCUUACUGUUGGAGGAAAGAUCAGCAAUUUUCAGUUGUACUGCAGAAAGGAAGAAUACAGGAGAAUAUAUAUGCAGGAUGGCUUUUGAACGGCAACUGAAAUUUAAUUUUAUUGCUUUCAAUUUUUUAUUACAGCACUAGGCCAAUCUUAUUAUUGGCUAUUUUUUAAUAACAUUCAUACCUUUUGAUAACAGCUAUAACUCUUGGAUAAGUUCCAAGAGACACAACUCUACAUUACAGAAAGUGCAUUACGUUUAACACUUACAUCAUUGACUAGUUGAUCUAAGGUUGUUACAUAUAUCCUCCUUAGGUUCCUGAGUAAUCAUCUCAAAUUCCUGCUGAAAUCUCUCCAUGGCCGAGGAUGGCAAACACAUGGGUACCAAUAUUCCAUCCUCAGUGUUGUUUUUGUGUUGAACAUAGAAGCUAACCAAAUCCAAGGCCUUGGCGGGUCCAGCAAAUACCGGCUGUCCCCAUCCAAAAUUGACAUCUCCAAAACCUGCACGCGUAUUAUCAGAAACUAUUAAAUAACUUCCUGUCGAUGAAUAUUGAGGUCGCCCUCUUAGUACCAAAAGAUCUGCCACUGAUCUUAAGUAUUCUUCAUUCAUGGUAGCUUUAGCCUUCUUCACCAACUCCAAAGCAUAUCCCAUUGGAUUUUUGCAUAGAGGUUCAGCCUUUGAAACUGCAGCUGGAAAUGCAAAUGCAUUGCCAUAGUAUCCCAAGGGAAGACGUACAUUGUGGUGCUUUCCCCGUGCAUUGACAGUGCAUGAAACUCGAACUGCCUGUUUUGGAUUAAUUUUGAGUGCAAGAGUGCGACAUUUCCACAAACAAGCUGUGAUCAAGUCAAAUGUGGAGCAAGUGGAAAUUAGGUGGCGUGGAAUCUGUUUUCGAAGGACUCUCAUCUCCUUGGCACCAAAGUAGAAAGAUCGUUGAACCAUGUUUGACUGGUUACUGGAUGUGUAUGAGCCAUCAGAAUGAUCAAUCACGUCUUCAUAUUCAUGAUGAGCACAUGUAAUUCUUGGUGGAUUUCGAGCGAAC